RNAcentral lists this long non-coding RNA (52266 nucleotides) under Gossypium barbadense (sea-island cotton). RNAcentral describes it as "long non-coding RNA (GBAR_LNC011987)". The stretch from base 28497 to 28641 matches the Rfam family "MIR7502 microRNA precursor family". The record is from RNAcentral. Lineage: Eukaryota; Viridiplantae; Streptophyta; Magnoliopsida; Malvales; Malvaceae.
GAACUUGGAGGCAUCAGGUCCGAGGAUUGCAUCCUGGAUAACCCUUACUCCAUCUCCUGCUCUCAGAAAAAAAAAAAAAAAAACUUCUCCCCUAAUCUGUUCAAUUGUCCUGUUAUAAUCCCAUAUCCAGAAUUUCAACAUAAAUUAAUCAAAGUAGACCAAUUGAGCCAAUUAAAACCCAAACAAGAUUCUGAUAACUGAAGAAAGUAAAAGAGCAGGACUAAACCCUCCAACAAUCACGGAUCAACCACUAUUUUUUAGACAAAAUCUAAUUAACCUAUGUGGUGAAACAAGAACAACAAAUAAAACAUGUAAAUUCAAUAAGAAAUCAGUUAAAAAUCAGCUGCCUUCAGUUCUCUUCAUCAACUAGCACCUGAAACAAGGUUCUAUUCAAUAACAAACUAGCAUGGAAAUAGCUAAAUAGUAGAAACUAGAAAAAGAAAUUAAAAAAAUAAACAAUAUAAACAAAAUCAAUUCAAACACAAACAACUAAAUAUCAUAAAGUUGAGAAAGAUACCUAAGUAAAUUCAUAAUCAAUUCAACAAUUCUAGAGCUAGUAAGAAAAAGGAAAAUCAAUUUAUGCUGAGUAAAAACCCUAGAGAAAACCAUAAUUUAAUCAAUAAACAACGAGCCAAAUUCCAAGAAAGAAAAAGUUGAAUAGGAUAUGAAAUUCACCUUUAGAUUGAAAGCUGGAUUGGAAACGAAUCCAAGAAUUCCAAGUGAAAAGAAAAUUCGAUGAUUAAAAAUAAAAUUUUAAUCAUUCAUUUUGAAAGAGCAAUUUGUUUAAGUUUGUUUCGUGUAGGAAAAGGCUUUUCAGUGGGAAAGGAGGACUUUUCGAAUGCCAAGCCUCCAUUUAAAAACAGAUUCCACUACUGCAGAAUUUCAUAGAAAUGUUUAUUUUCGGGAUUUAUUUAUCUCCACGCGCUAAUCUGUUCAGUUUAUUCCACGCACCGUAUUUAUGAGCAACAAAAGGCGGCAAAAGGAUAAUGUUUGUUUUAACAGAGUUGGUGAGCGUUUGGUGAUGACAGUUGGGAUUAGCCAGAAGAAAAUACAUUGAAAUUUAUUUUUCAUGUUAUAAAUAACAAACUUUUAUUUGUUUGUUUUAUUUUUCCUUUAUUUUGCAAAUCGCAUGUGGCUAAGCUAGCUGGCUACUGACUAAAAAUAGAAUUCCUUUUGUCUUGUAUUUCAAGGUAAAAAACGUGGAGUAUCUGAUUUUCUUCUUAGUAAAUAAAGAGAACUCUAUGCCUCCUCUCCUUGGUCACCCCCAGCUUAUCUGCAAGUAAGGUCAUAUGCACACCAUCUGCAGCUCGUGUAACACUACUUCUCUCCCAUCAAACACCUUAGCUAACAGGUCUGCCACAUAGUUGGCUUCACGGAAGAUAUGGAGUAAAAUUCCCUGAUUCUCCGAAUAAGCGGAUCAUUGAUAGUGCCAACCGGAGCCUUGAUAAUCCCAUCAACUGCAAUCUUGCUGUCACUGUCAAGAAUUACUUGCUUGUAUCCUCUCUUCCAUGCCAUGUGAAGCCCGUCAUGAAUCGCCCAAAGCUCCGCCCGAAUGGUCGAGCAUCCACCAAACUUCCUGCAAUAGCCCGCUAUCAAGUCCCCAUUGUUGUUCCUUAAUAACCCUGCAGAAGAAAACAGUUGACCACUAGAAAGAUUCGCCCCAUCUGAAUUAAUCUUCAACCACCCUGGGGGUGGAGGCUUCCAACCGACAUGCACCCACUGUAAUCUUCAGAACCAUAUUACUCUUUACAGUUUACAGUUUUGUGCCCAACAAAUGCUUCGACUAAUGACCUCCUCUAGUGAAGAAUUUGAUUCCUGAAAAAUCAAAGUGUUCCUCUGUUUCUAGAUAUUCCAGCAAGCUAUAGCGAAAAGAGUAUUCCAAGGAGCACCAAUAUAUGCUAGUUCAUUCGAAUUUUUCAGAUUAACAACCAACCAUUCAAAUACAACAAGAGAAAAUAAUUGCGUCUGAUUUGAAUGAGAAACAGUUCGCUGUCAUACCUGAUUGGCAAAAGAACAAUCACGUAUAACAUGUAGAGCUCUUUCGGGUACCGACCCACACAACAAGAAGCAUCCAUAGCAAUCCCUCUCUUGCAUCUCUCAGCAUUACUGAGUAUCCUCUCCUUAGCAACCAAUCAGAGGAAAUUUUUCACUCUUCGGAGGCAAUUUAAGUGCCGCAGGAUUGACCAAAAGAUAUCUUGAGAUUACUUAAUCGGUCGUAAGCAUCCGAAACAGAAGAACGCCCAUCCUUCUUCCACCUCCAGCUAAUGCGAUCAUCCCCAUCUGUCACUUUGGGUGGCGGAAUACUAGCAACCCGAGACAGCAGGGAGUGAUCCAACCAUAAAGAAAGUUUGUGCCAUGCCCAGACCCCAGUUACCAUCCAAAUCUACCAUCUCAUUUACCAUAGAGCGCUUGUCGACCCCAAUUAAGUUUGUAAAGAGCUCCUAUAGUGGGUCUAUAUCAUUAAUCCAAUGGUCAGUCCAGAACUCAACAGAUUUGCCAUCACCAAUUAACCAAACCACAUUGCACCUGACCUCCUCCCAGACUUGAGUGAUUGACCUCCAAACAAAGGGCCAUCUUUCUACCAUUAUUCAUAGUCCUCCAAAUAAACUAUCUAGCCAUUUUCUUCAAUAUCUCUACACACUCUAGACGGAAUCAUAGAAAUUUGCAUAAAAUAGUUCGGAAUUGAAGUAGUAACGAUUUCACCAAAGCAACAGGAUUGGCCAUUGAGAGCACCCUAACAUCCCAACCACUCAAGUGACUCUUAACUUCGUCAAGCAAAAAGGCGUAGGUGCUAGAACAGAUUUGUGGGAGAGAGGAAUACAAGAUAUUUACCCUAGUCCUCCACUUGGUUAAAGCUCAAAAUCGAUUCCAUCUCCUGCCUUACUUCAUUGCUAGUCCUUGAGAAAUAGGUGAACUAAUCGAGAAUUCCUUUCAAGUUAUGGGCUCGUAAUCCGUCAGCUUCACAAAACAACACUAAAUCAUCAGCAAAAAAAUAAAUGCUACAGCCGCGGUCCAUCCUUGGCAAGUUUAAUUGGCUUUCAUGUGUUCUCAUUCACCUCUUUCACAAUAUCAUGCCCAAGUCUCUCCAUUCCAAAAACAAAUAGAUAAGGUAAGAGAGGUUCACCUUAGCAAAUACUCCUAGAUGGCUUAAAUUCUUCAGUCAAACUACCAUUCCAAAAUAUUUGCAUAGAGUUCGACGAGACACAAUGCACUAUAAAUCUUACCAAAUGACAUGAUAGUCCUGUCUCGUAUAAAGAGUACUCCAAAAAAUUUCAUUGGAUUCUAUCAUAUGCCUUCUGCAAGUGCACCUUGAUGGCCAUCCAACCUUUUUUACUCUUCCUUGUCCUCAUAGAGUGAACCACCUCCUGAGCUAUUAAAAUAUUAUCAGUUAUCGAUGUCCUUGCAAUGAAACUCACUUGGUUAGGACCAAUAAGUUUAGGCAUGAUGUGCUUAAGUCUUCGAAACGAGGACAAUCAGGGUUUUGUUUAUAGAACCUUUAAUAUCAUUCCCACUAAAUACAAUUUCACAAAAUCACAGAAAGCUUCACCAACGAUCCCCACUCAAUUGAAAGAAAUGAGCAUGCAAGCCAUCGACCCCAGGAGACUAGAAAGGUGCCAUCUCGAAUAAGGCAUAUUAAAUCUCCUCUUAUGUAAUCUUGGCCAAAAGAAAAUCCAAAUCUUGUUAGCUUAAAAAUGGAAAACACGCACAAAUAGGAAAAUCACCAUUCACAACACUAUUCGAAUAUAAAUCAUGGAAAAAUCGAAUAGCUUCCUCUUGAAUUAAGGUGUGUAUGGGCCGGUCUGGGUUCGGGCCAGGCCCAGAUCGGCCCCAGACAAAAUUUUAAGCUCGUUUUCUUAGCCUGGCCCGAAAUAUGGGCCUAAAAAUUUGUCUAAACCCGACUCGAAAUAAAUUUGUUAAACCCGACCUGGCCCGGCCCAUAUUAAUUUUUUUUAACUUAUUUCAUUAAAUAAAAAAAUUUUAAAAUAUAAUAAAUCAAAUACAUUAAAAACAAAUAUUAAAAUAAGAAACAAAUGAAAAAUAAUACUAAAACAAUUCUUAAAAUAAUACACAAAUUAAAAAUACAAUAAGAAGUGAUUAUAUUAAAAUUGAAAAUAAAAUGUAAAUAUGAUUAAAAAUAAAAAUAUAUAUUUACUAUAUAAUUCGGGCCGGGCCGGGCUGGGCCCAGGUUAAAAAAAGUUUUACCCUAGCCCGUCCCGUUUUUUAAACGGGCCUCUUUUUUUGCCCAAAUCCAUAUUUCGAACCUAUAUUUUUACCCGAAUCCUCCCAUUUUUCGAGUGGGCCUUCGGGCCGAGCCGGGUAGCCCGACCCAUGCACACCUCUACUCUUGAAGGUCCUCAUCAUCAAAGCACCAUUCCUCACCUUGUACCUUUAAAACACAUAUUUUAUUAUGGCUUAGCCAGGCCAUCGCUCUCUUACGAAAUAUGAUGUAUCACGAUCCCAUGGAGUAGCCAAUCUGAUCUAGAUUUCUAGCGCUUAAAGAGCUCCGCAGGGUCUAAAAUAUUCUCCAGUUCUCUCCUAAGUUUAGAUUCCAGAUUAACCAACUUCGUAGAAUAGCAACGUUUACGAGCAGCUUGGACCCCUUUUAGACGUCCAACAACUAACCUCUUGUGUUUACCUAUUAUUCCAAAGGGAUCCCGAUUCCACACUUUAACCUCCUUAGUAAAACUAGCAAUCAAAUGCGGUCAAGCAGCCCAGCCUACUCCAAUGACGAGCUCCAAGUCUUGGAAACUAUCGUGGGUCUCCCAACCAGCAAAAUACAGAAAAGGUCGAAUCCAGCUAUUACUUAACAAGUGGCCUACCGAUAAUAACAACGAGCAGUGUCUGACGACCUGAUUUUAUUCAGUGCCAGAAACUUCAAAUUUUGAAAUCCAACUCCGCAAAAUGAGUUGAUUGAAAAUUUAGUUAAAAUAAUUAUGUGUUCAGUAGGAAAUAAUAAUAUUAAUAUACUGAGUGAUUAAAUUGAUUAAGCUAUUAAAUUAAUGAGAUUUAAUUGAAGGGAAUUGAAAGUCUUUAAUAUGCAAUUUUAUCAAGGACUAUGAAAAAAUUAAACCAAUUAUAAUUCAUAGAAAUGUUUUCGCAUGAUUAUAUCAUCAAAGUCCAUUAACCAUCAUUAAACCAUAUUUUUAACUAAUAAAUUAAAAGUUUAAUUAAUGUUAAAUUAACUAAGUAUAUAUUUAUAAUAUGAUAAGUGGGAGAGAGGAGAGGUGACCAUUAUAAAAAAAUUGAUAGUUUUUCAAGCUUAUCCAAAAUUCACAAGUUAUCGAUGAGAUCGCGACAUCAAGGAUCAAAGGCGAAAACGGGUAAUAAACUCUAUUUGUACUCUUAUAAUUUGAGUUUAAUUUAUAUUUUAUUAAAUAAUUAAAUAUAAUCCAACAAUAAUGAUGUCAAACAUGAAUCAAAGUUCGUACACACUCAUUUACUUAAUUUGUUCAAAUUACGCCAACAUAUGUAUAUAACUGUCUGCAUUGUGAUAAAGUGAUGCUAUUUAUAUUGAAAAUUAUUUGAUAAAUGUGUUGAUUACGAUAUCAUGUUAUUUGAGUUAUAAUAUGAUUUAAUGGGGUUGAGAUAUGUCGAUAUAUAUAAAUAUAUAUAGGGUUCAGGGUCUAUGAUCUGACCGUCUAUUUCAUGUUAUGCCACCCCCCAUAUGAGCAAUUGAUAACACAUCAACUAUUUUCAGCAGCAAUAGUUUUAGUGUAGUUCAUUAAAGGAUAGGUUAUAUAAGGAUAUAUGAACUAAUGGGAAUGGUAGAUAUACCGGAAACUAACAAAGGGCAUAAGCCCUAUAUUACAAAGUUAGAAAACCGGGGAGAUAUCCGGUCGGUCAAUCGACAACUCUUGCCGAAUUAGUCUUUUUUCUAAUCUAAGGUUAGAGCUAAAAUAUGUAUGUCCUACAUACAUUGAUGAAAACAUUCAUAGUUGCUCACUCUGCGCGUCGUCGGUUUUCAGUCUCUUAGCAGCAGUGAUGAAUUCCGAGAUCACCUUAACCUCAUUUAGCGGUGGCUGUAUCGAAAUAAAGGAUGUUAGAAAGGAAAGCUGUGAAAAUACAGCACAUUUGUAUGUAUGCAUGAGUCUCUUAACAGAGAAGAUAAUUGACCUGUGACACAAAAUGCCGCUGCACCGUAUUAAGUACUUGUUCCCUUGGUGAAUAACCACUGAUGCUUCCCUGAAAAUAAAGAUAAAAGAACCCCAUGAAUUCUAUAAAUAUAAUAAUUCAUUGACGGCGAGAGUUAGUAGGGACCGACAAGUUUGAAGUGCCUGCAAUAUCUUCGCAAGGAGUCAGUGUCGAGUCUUGCCAAAUUUACCUUCAAAAUUAGGAACACAUGAUACAAGUAUAUUUAGAAUCAUAAAACAAUGGCAUAUAUGAUACAUACUACAAUUUUUGGCUUAUACUAACCGAUUGUGUUGCAUGAAUAAUGGAUUGAACAUCUCUGUAACCUGUACGAUUCGUUGAUUUCAUGGAUGCAGAUGGCAGCCAUGGUUUUGUAUUUCGAACUCUGGGUUUGGCAGGCCUGUGGAACUCAAUGUUACUAGCUGUCCAAAAGCAAAAAAAUAAACAUGAAGGGGCAUGAUCUGUUAACAUGAAAAAACAAAACAGAAGGUUGAGAACAUUCGUUUGACUUACGGAAAUCGCGGUCCUUCUCGCCAAUGUCCGAUCCACUGCUCGAGUUAUCAAAAUCAUGAUCAUCACCUACUUCAUUCCCUGUAGGAUGUUCCAACACACUCAAUGCAUUCCUCUGAAGCUUCAAUCACAUAUAUAAACAAUAUUAUUAAGGAAAUAGCAUCAUAAACACAACAAAGUUGAUGUCUGGUCCAUCCUGUCGGACUAAAAGCUAUAGAAAACUAAUCAAAAGUUAAAGCUACAAAAAUCAGUGUGCAAAACAACUUAACCAUUGAUAUAUAUUGACUAUGGAGAGAAUUUGCAUCAAAUAGUGGAAUUUAAAAGGGGAAAAAAGAAAGAGAAGAGACUAUAAUAAUGAUAAAUGAAAGUAAAGCUGAAAAUAUACCAGCCAGUGCCAACCACCUAGGCCCACAGCUUUCUUGACCACGCCUUGCAAGCCAACCAAUACAGAUUUUGUUCUAUUAUUUCCCGUGACAAUAACUUUUGUGUGUCUCGGAAGAACCGAAAGCUCUUCAUCGCCGCUUUCUUCCCUGAACGGCGACAGAACCCGAGAAGAACACAGUUCAUGCUCCAACAUUUUUGUUAACAAUUGUCGAGACAAAGCUAACUUAGGGGAAUAAACAGCUGACUUUAGCUAAUCAAAAACCCCAUCAGCUCCAUCAGUUUCCACGUUUGUUUUCGUUUUAUUAAUGGAAGAUUCUGAGCCUUAGGUUAUGAUUCUGUAAAAAAGGACAAGGUUUUUUUUAAUGAAGUACAGAGAGAAUCGUAAAGAUUAAUUAAAUAGAAGCCAGAGAAGAGAAAGUUUGAUCACUGACACGAAUAUUUAGAGGAAGAAAUGAAUGCGGGUUUUGUCUUCAGAGAAACCGAUCACUGAUUCACGAGACUUUAAUUGAUCUUAAUAAAUGAACUCCCACGAAAAAGAAGACGAUGCUACUGCUAUCUCAUCAUUAAGCUUCCGUUCAUAUCACCUGAAACAAGCAGAAAUGGAUUAAAACUUAAAACCCUUUUUUGUAUUAAGAACUUUAAGGUUGAAAACAAUCCAAUUUGCAAUAUAUUAAUCACCAACCCAUGGUGGGAAAAAAAAACUUUUUAAAAAGCUGGAUUGUAGAUAUCAAUAGCCAAGAAAAAGUAGACCAAUGAAGACAAGUAUGUUUGGUUGCUUAGAAAUUUUAACUAUAGAACAAAAACUUAUAAAUAAAAAAAUAAAACGCUCAUGAACCAUUUAAGGGAAGCAUCAGAAAAAUAAAUAAAAACUGGUUACAUUCUAAAACCCUCCAUUAAUCUAAGAAGAAAAGAGAUAGAUAGAACAGAAGAAGCUGUAAGAUUCUCUUGGCCGCAUUUUCUUCGAGGAAACUUUAGUAAAACAAAAGUUGAAAAAGGUCAGAAUUUUGGCAUUUAAAAAGAAAAAGAACGCUAUUAGUCACUUUCAACGUUAUGCUCAAAUUCAAUAAACAAAACAGCUAAAACCCAAGUGAGAAUUAAGAAACUAUUUGGUAUACAAUCCAUUCAAACAUAAAGCCUAAAAGGCUAUUUUUUAAAAGAAUCUUGCAUAGAAUAAAAGAAACCCCAAAUUUAGAAGGAAAAAAAUUCCGAUGGUACCUGAAGAACACGAUAAAAAUGCAAAACGAUUCAAAAGAAAGAAGAAAAACACAGUACAAUACAAUGAAUGUGUUUUACGGGUCGGGGAUACUGGAUUUCGGGUUCAGAAAAUUGGGUUUGUAAGCAUUUCUUUAUAAGAAAAAUAAAAAGAGGGGGAAAGAAAAACGCCUAUUAGUUGAGCAAAGAGAGAAACUGUAAAUGCAGAGGUUUUCGAGAGAAAAGAAAAGUUUGAAUCGAAAAAUGGGAAAGAGGGAGAGAGAAAGCACAGUGAAUGCUUAUCAACUGCCAUGGGAAACGACCUGCCAUGGUGUCGUACGGUCGGUCCUUUCAUUUUCCUUUUGUAACCGGGCAAUGCAACACGCCAUUGUGUUUUAUUUUGUUGAAAAUGGCUCGGCUAACGGCUAUAAUAAGCGGAGUGGGGGUAUUUAAUGGAUGUGGGACCCAGAGUGAUACGGAAGUGAUAGUGUGGGUCCCAUUGGAUUAAUUUGUUUGGUGAGGAAAUUGUUUUGCAUGGUUCCUAUUCUUACCUACGCACUCUCCCGCACACGAAUUCUUCAUGACUGCGUUAAAUGUUGUGGUGUGUCGCCAUACCCCAUAAGCUUAAAUCCCUUCAUUUUGUUCCUACCUUGAUUCGUUUGAAUUCCUAUUUUAGGUUAAAUUCUGCUAUUAUUUUUGUAAAGUUUUGUUAAUACACCUCUUAUUUUCUUUUAUACUUUAAUUUUGUCAUUUUUAGAAUUUGAAAAUUCUAUUCCUAAUUAAAUAAUAAUUAUUAAAUUCAUUAAGUUAAGUCUUAUUAUUUUGAAAUUUAAUGUGUCAAAUUGUUUUCACAUAUUACUCACAAAAAAUUAGUUAAUAGAUUUAACAAAAGUCGUUUGCAUUAAAACUAAAAUUUUGAAAUUCAAAUAUUAUAGCUACUAAAAAUGAUCCAAUAUGUAAAUGCGGACUAAAUUAUAACUUUAAUCAAAAUAUACAGACUGGUGACAUAAUUUAAACAUACGGAUUUAAUUGUUACCAUUAGAUCAAUACUAAAAUUUCAAAAUUUGAAAAGUACACGAGCUAAAAUCAAUUAAAUUAAGGUAUAUGUACAAAAUUUACAAUUUAUGCAAAGUACGAGGUCUUAUUACAAAUUUUGACCCUUUUUAUACUUUACAAAGGUUGUUAAUUUAGUAUUUAUAUUUUAAUUUGAUCAAUUUUAAUUUUUAUCCUUUAAAAUUUUAUAGUUCUCACCAAAUAUUAACUAUUGAAUUCAUUUUGUUUGAUAAAGUGUUGAAGAAAAAUCAAUCAACUAUGAAUUAAUAUUUUCAUAACUUAAUUUUUCAAACGCAUUUGAUAACCCACAAUAAAACCAAUUGAAUAGAUUUUUUGCUAAAAAAUAUAUAUAUAAAAUGAUAAGUGGAUAAGUUCCUACACAUCACUUAAUAGAGAAUAAAUUUAAUGGUUUUUUAUUUUAUUUUAUUUUAUUUCAUUUAAGAUUAUAUUAUUCUCUAUCAAAUGAUUUAAUUAUAUUUACUGCUCAAUUUUAAAUAAAACACUAAACAUAUUUUAUAACUCAAAUUCAAUAUUUAUUUUUUUUAGUACUUAUUUUUCAACAUUUAAUUUUUUAGAUUAUCAAGCAUAACCUAAGUUACGAUAUUUUCAAAAUCUAAUGCGGCAAAUAUAUUAUCAUGUGUAAUGCCAUGUCAGCUUGUUAUUUUUACAUAUUACUCACUAAAGAUUCAUGUAAUAGAGUAACGGUGGUUAUUUACAUCAAUACUGAAAUUUCAGAAUUCAAAAAGUAUAAGGACAUAAAGUGAUCCAAUUGUAGUCUGUAGGCUAAAUCUGCAAUUGCAUGUAUAGUAUAGCUCCAAUAAUUGAAUUUGAUCAAACAGAUUUAACUCCUAUUGUUUCAGUUGGGAUUAAAAUUCUAGAAUUUGAAGAAUAUAGGAGACUAAAAUUUAUCAAAGAAAAAUAUAAUGAUUAAAUCCACGACUUUUAUAAAGUACAUGGACUAAUAUUAAAAUUUAACUUUGUAACACCCCUAACCCGUCUCCGUCGCCGAAUCAGGGUUACGAGGCAUUACGAAACCAAGCUCACAUAAACAUAACUUUAAUAUCUAAUUCCAAAUGCAAGUCCAAUUCAUGAACAUAUAUAAUCAAAUUCAAGCAUGGAAGUUAAACUCUUUUCGCAUUGCUAUUUACACAAUAGGAUUCAAAAUUAUCCAAAACAUCAUCAAGCCUAUACAUGCCAUAAGAUCGAGUUCAAAUAUUUAACAAAAUACCAAAAAAAAAAGUCGAUAGUGUGAUGGGCGGUGCUGAUGAUCCCCGAGCUCGUAACGCGUCUCCAAAAAAAAAUCUAUAAAAACGAAUGAACGAAAGCAAACAAAGUAAGCUUUUAUAGCUUAGUAAGUCUACAGCAUAUCUAUAAUACAUAUAAAAGAAUCAUAUAAUUCUUUAAGUAAAUUUAUUGAAAUUACAAUCAUCAAAUAUGAUUACUAAUCAAACACUACUUUAUUGAGUCAUUUUGUUUAAGUCUAAAAGGAUGUAUAUUUAUCUAAUACACAUAAACGGACAAAUGUAUAUACAUUAUAUGCAUAUAAUCAAGUUACUAGCAUAAUCCUUAACAGCAUAUACUGAUUUCUAGAGUACUUAUUGUUCGCACUUCAUCAAAUCCAUUUAAAUACAACUAUUCAACUACAUAUAUCAAAAGCCAAAUUUUUAUGCUUAUCAUCCAUAAAUGCCGAAUGCACAUAUGCACCUAUACCCAUCUAUGCCGAAUGCAUAGAUACAUACACUUAUUUUCACCUAUGCCGAAUGCAUACACAUAAAUAUAUUCACCUAUGCCGAAUGCAACAUAUUUAUAUAUAUACAUAUCUAUCAAUUGCUUAGACCAAAUAUAUGUAUAUAUAUAUGCUCAUCAAGUUAAUAUGACUAAAAUCAUGUGAUUGAACAUUUAUGUAUACAUCGAUUUCAUAUAAUCAAAAUCAUAGAGGUAUCAAUUGUAUAUUAUCACAUGCUUUAAACGGAUUCACCGGCAUUUAGCCUGCUAGGUUUUAAAACCUGAUUCAAUACACCGGCUCUUAGCCUGCUAGACUUAUAGUCCGAAAUAUGUCACCGGCAUUAAGCCUGUUAGACUUAUAGUCUGAAAUGUGUCACCGGCAUUAAGCCUGCUAGACUUAUAGCCUGAAAUGUGUCACCGGCAUUAAGCCUGCUAGACUUAUAGUCUGAAUAAUUUCACCGGCGUUAAGCCUGCUAGACGUAAAGUCUGAAUUAUGUCACUAACGAUAAACCGAAUGAUACUGAGCUUUAACAAAAGAAUCUCAAUUCAUAGGAGUUGUAUAUCAUAAUGGUAUAUAGAAUUCACAUAAAAAUUCAGCUCAAUAAUUUAUAAACUAUAUCCUUAACCCACAUCGGUAUAAAAAGUUCAAUCAUCAAAUUCAACUCAAUAUCUAAAUUAUACAUCCGAAUAUAUAUAUAUAUAUAUAUAUAUAUAACUUAACACAUUGAAGCAUACUAUUAAUAUCGUACUUUCGAACACAUUAAGAUAAUCCAAGCUAAUAAUUUCAUCUCUUCAACCCCGUUCAAGAACCUUUACAAGAACAUACAUACCUAAUCGAAUCUCCCUUUUUCAUAUAUAAGUUUCAUACUUAAAUUUAUCACAAGAACAUAUACAUGCAUAGUUGCAUAGUCGAACCCCUUAUAAACUUGUAUAAAUGGCAUACCUAAGUUCAAUACGAGAACAUAUAGAUGUAGAUUUGCAUAAUAUAUAUAUAAUUCACUCAUACUUUUAAUUAUUUCAACUAUCAUAUUUUUAAUUAUAAUUCAUCCAAAAACAGCUCAUAUACUUAUUUAUAUACUGAUUUUAUGACAUUAAAUAGCUAAUAGACUUACCUCGGAUAUCAACAAACACGAUCGACUAUUCAAUUAUCUUCGACUUCCCCCGAUCCAAAUUCGUUUUCUUCGUUCCUUGAUCUAAACAUAGUCAAAUUUAACCUUUUUAUUCAUCAAAACAUUCAUUUGAGUCCAACAAUACAUAAAUGGGAAAAUUACCAUUUUGCCCCUAACAUUUUGCACUUUUUGCAAUUUAGUCCUUUUUGCACAAAACACAAAAUACACAAAAUUUGCCCAUAACACACAAGGGCCGAAUAUUCAUGGUUCUCAUACAAGUCCACACAUUGCAUUUAUUUCACAUUUUAGUCCCUCAAAAAUUUAUUUUCACAAUUUAGCCCUAAAUACUCAAAUUCAUCAAAAAUACCAAUACAAAACAUGUUAAUCUAAGACAUAUCUUCCAUUAUUCAUCAUCAAACAUCCCAAAACACAAAUAUUCAUCAAUGGCAUAAUUCAAAAUAUUCAUCAAUUCACAAAAUUAAGACAUGGGUUUUGAAGUAUUCAAAGCAACGAUCUCAAAAACGUAAAAAUCAUCAAAAACCGAACAAAAACUAACCUUGAAUUAAGCUUCAAAAGAUGGCCGAACCUAGCUUAGGUUUCUUUCUUUUUCUUUUCUCUAGUUUCGGUCAAAAUAAGAUGAAAAAUGUGGCUUUUAAUUUGUUUGUCUUUUAAUAUAUUAACAUUAUAAUAUAAUAUAUUAUUAUAACCUUUAUACAUAAUAUAAAAACUAUAAUUUAUAAGCAUAAUGCGAUCCACUAUCUUGAAUAAUGGCCUAAUUUCCUAUUAAGGACUUCACAUUAUAAAGACAUUAGCAAGUUAGCACUUUACACAUUAAUUAGUCAAUUUCACAUUUUAUGCGAUUAAGUCCUUUUAUUAAAUUAAGCACACAAACAAUAAAAUUAAUUCACGAGAUUAUCACACAUGUAAAUUAACAUAUAAUAAACACAUGAAAUAAUAUUAAAAUAUUUUUUUAACUCGGACUUGUGGUCCCGAAACCACUAUGUCCAAUUAGAGUCAAAAUCGGGCUGUUACAAACUUAAAUUUUAUUUAUUUUAAUUUAAUUGUGAAAAUUAAUCAUUUAAACUCAUCCAGUUUCUACUUGAAUGGAUUCGAAUAUGAAAUUGAUACAAAUUUUAAAUAUUCAAAAUUAGAGAAACCCCGAAUUUGAAGUAUUUCAAACUUAAAAUAAUUUAGACAAAUAACUAUAAAUUAUUUGAAUGCGUAAUAAUCUAAUUCUAAAACCCAAAUGACUUAAUUCAAACCUUGAGUAAUUUAUUAAAAAAGGGGUAAAGUAUAAAAAUAGUCACUUUUAUUUGUCUAGUAUUACAUUUUAAUCAUUUAUGUUUAAAAUAUUAUGUUUUAGCCACUUAUGUUAUUGUUUUAUUACAAAGUGGUCACUCUAUUGUUAAGCUUUGUUACCACCCUAGCAACAAUGUUACGUGACAGUCUAAAUGGGUUUUAAAUGCCAACUUGGAUGUCUAACUGGGAUGAGAAUAGUUUUCCAAUCAAAAUGGAAAAGAAAACUAAAAGAAAAAUGAGACGAAUGGUUUCUAUUUAGUUUAAAGUGUAAUUAAUUUAAAUUUUUUAAUUAAUUAAAUUUAUUUAAUUAAAAACCUAUUUUUGUUUCAGUUUGACAUCCAAGUUGGCAUUUAAAACCCAUUUGGACUGCCACGUAUGAUUCUUGUUAAGGAGGUCACGGAGCUUAAUGAUAGAGUGACCACUUCGUAACAAAACAAUAACAUAAGUAACUGAAAUGUAACAUUUUAAAUAUAAGUGACUAAAAUGUAAUAUGAGGCAAACAAAAGUGACUAUUUUUGUAGUUUACCGUAAAAAAUUUAAAUUCAAAUUAAUUCUAUAAAAUUUUAUUUAACUCAUAAUAACUCAAAAUAAUUUAAUUGGGUAAAAAUGUUACGGGGCUAGAACUUUAAUUUAACAAUCUGUGUAGCUUUAGGUGAAAACUUUGCUUCAAAUUCACUUAAGUCACUCUAACUCUCAAAAGGCACUGAAAAUUAGCGAGAGUGAACUCUUAGUGUUUGACUAAAUGCUCUCAAAAGUAUUCAGUUACUCUAAAUGAGAUUAUUGCAAAUGAGGGAGAAUGCCUCUAUUUAUAUCGUUGAGUUCUCCCAAUUUAACAGUAUAGUUUAAAUUACAUUGAGGCUAAUAUUAAAAUCCAUCUACAAUAUGCAAGUACUAAGGGAUUUAAACACUAUACAAUCUUGUAAUAUCCUAAUUUUGGGCCUAGUCGGAAUAGCGAUUUCGUGACCACAAAAUCCAAGAUAGAAAUAAUUAUUUUAUGAUUAUUUUGAGGUCUAUGAUAUGAUUGCAUGAUUGUGUGAAAAUUUCGUGAAGAAAUUUUAUGCAUGAAGUGCUUAAAUUGAAAUUAGGGACUAAAUCGAAUAAUUUGUAAAACUUGCAUUCUAGAAGUUUCUGUAUGAAAUUGUUUUGAAAUAUUAAUUAGGAGGUCUUAAAUAGCAAUUUUACCAAUUUAUAAGUCUAUGGACAAAAAUUGGACAUGGAUGGAAUUUUUGGAAAGUUAAGUAGUAAGGGCAUUUUGGUCAUUUAGGGGUAAAAUGAAUUAAAAUACAAAAUUAAAAGCCAAUUUUGCUCAUCUUCAACCCCAUGGCCGAAUAUAGCAAGGAGAAACCAUGGCUAGGGUUUUUCAAGCUUCCAAGCUCGAUUGUAAGUCCGUUCUAGCCUCGUUUUUAAUGAUUUUUACGUUUUGGAGUCCCAGUAGCUCGAUUAAGCUUAUGCUAGCAAUAAUUCAACCUAGGGUUCAUAUUUGGAAAAAUACCCAUAGGUAAAAUUUGUGUAUUUUGGUGUUCUAUGAUAGAAUAUGAGGUUUUAAAUUAUGUUAGACAACUUUUACUACUCGGUUUUAAGUGAAAACGAGCAAAAGGGCUUAAUCGGUAAAAAUACCUAAUAGUCAUAAGUACAUGUUAGAGUGAGAAUUUGAUGUUACCAUAGAAUGGAAAAAUGAUCAGCAUGUCAUAAAACAUAAGAAAAUAGGCUGAAAUUUAAUUUAAGAUCUUUGGGGCAAAAGUGUAAAUAUGCGAAAGUUUAGGGGCAAAACUGUAAUUUUUCCAAAAUAUGAUUUUGGGUCAAUUUGAAUAAUGUGAGUCCUAAUUAGACUAUAUUUUAAAUGAUAGAGCAAGGAAAACUAAAAUUCGGGCUAAAAUGGGGAAAAUACCAAGUUGUGGACGAAAUGGUAAAAGUAGCCAUUUUCGCAUACGAGGUAAGUUCAUAUGUAAAUGUUGGUAACAUAGUUAUUAUUUUAAAUGUUUUAAUGUUAUUUAAAUGAUAUGAUAAUUAUUAUGAAAUAUUAUACUGUGAUAAUUGUUUGUUAAUAUGUCAAAUUAUGUGAUAUACUUGGAAAAUGUGAAAUACUACCGAGUAUCGGUAACGGCAUUCCGUAGAAGAUGGUUGAGACACAUGAUUGGGAAAAAGGUCCCGUUGAACCUUAGGAAUGGAUUAGGAUACAAGUGACAUGUCACUAGGAUAUUUGGGCAUCCGAACUCGUUGAGUUGAGUCCGAGUUCACUUAUGGAUGCGAAUGUCCGAACUCGUUGAGUUGAGUCCGAGUUCGAGAGAUGUAACUAGGUAUCCGAGCUCGUUGAGUUGAGUCUGAGUUCACUUAUGGAUGCGAACACCUGAGCUCGUUGAGUUGAGUCCGAGUUCACUUAUGGGCGGGUUACAUGGUAGCUUGGCUACAUAUGUGGCACUUAUGUGCAAACUUUCCAUGUAUCUGAAUUAUAUUCCGAUGUGUUCAACGGGUAAAAUUCUACUCAAAUGGAGAAUACUCGAGAUGAAAGGGACAUAUUAGUAAGUGUUGUGAAAUGAAUACUUUGAACAGGUAUGUACUUAACCCUCGGGUUGAAAACUCGAUAUAACAACAAUAUGGUAAGAUGAUAAAUGAAAAUGUGAUAUGAAUGUCUCGGUGAUGAUUAUGCAAAUGAUGUUUUAUGUUUGCGUAUAUAGUUGUGUUACUUGUUAUUUUCAUGUGAGCUUACUAAGCAUUUAUGCUUACUCCCUCCUUUUCAUUCCUUGUAGUGUUGACAAGCCAGCUCGGAAAUCGAGAACGGUCGGAGGCACACUCACACUAUCCGUAUACCAUCUUGGCAUAAUGGCUUGUAUAUUUUGAGUAUGGCAUGUAUAGCAUUAUAAUCAUUUUGUAUAUAUGGUCUUAUGAUAUGGUUAUUGAGUGGUAUGGAAAUGCUUGGUAAUGAUUAGCCAUUGGAAUGGCUAAUCAUGAUCAUAUUUGGUGUUAUGUAUGCUAAAUUGCUAGCUAAUCCAUAGAAACCAUGAAAUAGGUAAAAUUUACCAUAAAAUAGAUUCAGACAGCAACAGUGAUGUGAGUUUGAAAAAUCAUUAAAAAUAGUAGAGAUACAAUUACAUGAUGAAUAAAAUAUGGAAUUGAAGAAUUAUGAGUCUAUUUUCAUAUGGAUGGAACAAAACAGGUAUAUGAGUUAUAUUUUAUGAGAUGUUUAAAUUUUUGUGAAAUAGGUCCAGAGCGAUUUCUGGAUCCCCUGUUCUGACUUUGGAAAUUUACCAUAAAUUGUUCAAAGAUAAUUAUAAGUCAUGAUUUAUAUUUACAGAUUCCUUAUUGAGUCUAGUUUUAUUAGAAAUAAACGGCAUAGUCAUUGAAACUCUGUACAAGGAGAUAUCUGAUUCAUAAUACACAGAGGUCAGAGCAGUCGAACCCUGAAACAGGGGAGACUUUAACUAAUAAACUGUACUAAUUUGCUAGACCAAAAAUUCUAGAAAAAAAUCAGUAAAUAGAUAUAUGAGUCUAGUUUUAGGGAAAAUUUACGGAAUUUGAUUUCGAGUUUUGGAACUCGAGAUAUGAAUUUUUAAGCGACUGUGAUGCAGAUUGCUAGCUUGACUAAAAAUUUUAAAAAUAAAUUGUUUGAGCUGUUUAAGUAAUUAAUUAAGUCUGUUAACACCUCGUGUUCGACUCCGGCGACGGUCUCGGGUACGGGGCGUUACAAUCUUAUCCCUUAAGAUUUACAAUAUUCAUCAUGGUAGCUCUACUUUACUAAAAUGUUCCAUUAGGCCACAAAAACUUCAAAUAAAUGGACUUCUCCAUAUGUUACAUGAAUCGGACCAAUUCAAGUGGGUCAAAUGAGUCUCAUUUAAUCAAUGGAUCUCAAUGGGUUGUUCCAAUAUGCAUCCAUCACGGACAUUGAUCAGCGGUCCGUGACAAAAGUACCUACAAAGUCCUUUUAUUACAAAGAUUGAAUCAAAUUAGUCUUCGUACCAUUAAAUGUAUCAAUUUAAUCCAUCUAUUGCUAAAAAAAUUCAAAUAAGAUAAAAUUGUAAUGAAGCUAAAACUUUUUUGUUUAAAAAAUGAUAUGAAAUUUUUUUUUUGGGGAUGAUGUCAUAUUUGCUACUUGUACUUUUAUAAAAUAUCUAACGUGGCACAUCUACUUCCACAAAUUGUCCAAUGUGGUACAUGUACUUCCAUAAAAUGUCACCAUGGUACCUCUACAUUGGACAUUUUCAAAGUAUAAGUGUCUCAUUGGACAUUUUAUGAAAAUAUAGGUACCAUGAUAGAACACAUAUUAAUAAUUCAAGUAUCACAUUAAACGUUUUAUGAAAGUACAUGUACUAAUGUGACAUCAUCCCUUUUCUUAUUUCAAACUAGAUAUUUUAUUUGCAUAACCGUAAAAAACUUUAAAAUAUAACUUUAUUAUACAAUAAAUUACAUUUUCUAAACAAUAAAUGUUAAUUAUGUUUAUAUUUAGUAUUAUUUAAUUCUUUUUAAUAAUAUAAUAAAAAUUAAAUUUAUUCAUUUAAAAUUAAUUUUAAAAUUAAUUUAAUCCAAUCUCUAUAAUAAAAAAAAAAUAUGUAAAGUAUAUUCACAAAUUUAAUUAACAAGUUUGUCCAAAAGUUCGAUUUAUUACGUUUAAAAAUAACAUUAAUUUAUUUUAAGAAUUUUCAAUUAAAUAUAAACUGAAAAAUAUUUUUAUUGAGAGGGUUUUGCAUACUAAUAUUAAGCAAUUUUAAUUUGUUGGAUAUCUUUAUUCCUAGAGCUGUUUACAAGAUGUCCGACAGCGAUUUUUAACGGCUAGGAUUCAACUGAUUAUUCUGACAGUGGGCAACUUUGUCAUUUGGUUUAGCACAUCUAAUAUCCAAGCCGCCGAUUUUGUUCCCAUGCAUAGCCAAGCCGAUGACCGGUUGCUCCAGAAAAAGGAGAAGCAUGUGAAGUACACGUGUUUGAGAUCCAGCUGUCACAUAUUUUAUUAGGUACUAUUACACCUGUACAGACUUGUAUAAAUACCAGAUUUUGGUUAAAUACGUUCAUAAAUAUAUGUAUUUUUUAUUUUUAAUAAUAAUAUUUUAAUUUUACAUAAUUAAUGUAAAUAAUAAUCACUAAAAGAUAAAUAAAAUAUGUAUCAUGAUUAAAAAAUGAACAAUGGAAAAAAAAUAAUUAUAUUAUAAAUACAUUAAAUAAUAAUGUUAUUUUGGGUUCUAAAAUAAACUAUAUAUAUGUUAUCACUGUUGAGUAAUAUUAUUAUUUAAUGUAUUUUUUGCUUUUGACCUUUUAAAAAAAUGGAAAAGUAAAACUUUUUUGUAAGUCUCUUUUUGAUUGUUUUGUUUUUCUUCAUUGGCUCACAAUGUGUCGUGGCAUUAUUUGGUUGGUUGACGUUUUAAAUUUUGCCAGAAAUUGACAUGAUAGAGAGAUGUAACAAAUUGAUAGGCAAGAUAAAAAAUUCAAAUAUUACAUUAGAUAUUUUUAAAAUGAAGAAAGUUUACCAUUAUCACUAAAAUAAAUUAAGUUCGCUAAAUAAAUUUAUCAUCUAAAAAAUAUAUCAACUAUAAAUUUCAAUUAUUGAAAUAUAAAAUAAUUCUUGUAUGACAAUGAUCUCAUAUUCAAGCUCUAGUAAAUGUAUUUUAGUAUUUUUUAUAUUUUUUAAUUUUUUUUGCAAUUCUAUAAUUUUAUAAUUUUUUUCUAUUGUUUAAUAAAUUUUUUAUAAUUUUUAAAUAUUUUAAAGGGUUUUAGAAUGAUAACGUCACAACAACGUAAUUUAUAUGACAUGUGAUAACAUAUGAUUGAUUAUCUAGUUUUUUUAAUAUCAAUAGGACUGAACCAAGAGCAUUUGAUACCAUCAGGAUUAAAGUAGGUCAAAAAUUACUUUAAGGAUCAAAGUGAAAAAAGGAUAUACUUCAAAGACUAAAGUGUGUAUUAAGCCAAAAAAAAACCAUAGGUAUUACAAAUAAACAAUAUAAAUAUAUAAGUACUUUCACUAACAUAGAAUAUAAAAAAAUAUUGUUGAGGAAGUCAUACUCGUUUUAAAAAAAAUCUUUGAAAUGUCUUUCGUUGAAAGUUUAACCCUCAACGAUGGAGGUAUUGUGUAUGGGGUGUCUAUACUCAAUUUUAUCUUUUGAGUUUUCUCUCUAGACUUCGCGAAAAACCUGGACAUGUUCACAAAGUGGGAGCACCUCAUCCACCAAGGAAAUGUGAGCACUUAACCUUGGUGGGGGAUAUUUAAUCAUGGUAAUACUUGAGGAGGUGAGACUCACUCUAAAAGAUGUAUUUAAAAUGUCAUAUGUUGGGAGCAAAUGAACCCCUUAACGAUGGAGGUAUUGUGCCGAGGGUGUUUGUGCUCAAUUUUAUCUUUGAGUUUUGUUUCUCAACUUUACGAAGAGUUUUCGAUGGGCUCACAGAGUGAGAGCAUCUCGCCUACUAAAGAAAUAUGAUUAUUUGGUCAUAGUAGAGUUUAAACUCGUACCCUUACAUGGCAUUAGUUGGUAAGAAGACAAAUUUGAGAAACUAAACAUAAACAACCUACACACAAUACCUCUACUAUUGAGAGGUCUAUUAACUCCCGACGAACGAUAUUCUAAAAAUUUUCACAAUAAAUCCAACCUUCCCUCAAUAAAUAUAUUUUAGAAUUAAAUGAAAUGAAAUUAUAAAACAAAUUUGAAAAAUUAAUUUUCAGGUAGGAUUUAAAUACGGUAUUUAAGCAAGUCCACUUGGAACUUUCUUACAAAAUUCGAAAGAUUUUAUUAUUUUCAUCCAAAUAAAUAAAUUUAUUUUUGAAGUUUUGAAAUGAAUAAAUUUGAAAAAUUGAUUUGAAGUCCGCCCUUCAACCAGAUUUUUUCCCAAAGUGUGGGCCAUUACCCCAAUUCCUAACCUUACAUGCUCUUUUUGUCUUUUGGCCCUCAAUUUUGUUUUUAAUAUUUAAUUCUAAAUUGGGGUUUCUUAACAAAUUUAAUUUGGAUACAUUUUAUCUUUAAUUAAUAUACUAUUUAUAAUAUUAUUAUAUUAAUAAUCAUAAUAUCAUUCAUCAUUUCUGGUUCAUAUGAUAAACAUAUUACCUACAAAUUUAAUUCAUUACCUAACAAAAUACAUUUAAAUUUAAUCUUAAUUACAUAUAGAUCACAAACUUUGUAAUAUUCCACUCGUUCAAGAAUAUUAGAUUUUAAAAAAAUUAAAAUAAAUGUAAUAACUUAAUUUUUACCAGGCAUAAUAAUUUUAUAAAAUAAUAAAAUCCUUCUGAGCCUAACAUAGUAAUUUACUUGCUUAUGGAUAUUUUUUUACAAAGCAGAGCCAAGAGUGGUGUGUUUGCAUUAACUUCUUCCAGAAAUAAAUUCUUGGACACAUUUGUCUCACCUCAAUAUGUCAAGUUAUUUUCCCUCAAAAAUCGAUCCCAACAUGUUCUACUAAAUAAAGCAAAAGGCAAAAGGAGUAGUACUGGUUAAAGGCUUUGCUUGCUGUCCACUCAAAAUCAAAGUCCAAAUGUUCAUCACACUUUCACAUGCUCUAGUGGUUUUUGGAGAAACCCUUUUUAUUUUUCAUCUUUGAAUCACUCAUAUCUAAUUGCAAAAAACAAAGCCAAGUUUAGGGCACAUCAUAAAUAUAAUAAACAUUCAGAUAGAUGAGAUAAAAGGGUGACAUUCAUAAUGAUCCCACACAAGGGAGUGCCCUCUGAGCGUGCCCUCCCUAUAUAAAGUCAUAUUUAUCACUUCUCCCUCAAUAUGGAGAAUGAAAUUUCUCAUCUACGAUGACCACCGCCAUCACCAGACAAGGAGCGCUCUCUGCGCCUCCUAUGUAAGUCACGAUCAUCUCUUCUCCUACCAUAUGGAGAACGAGAACGGGAUCUCCCUCGUCUACCCCUUGAAUGAUAAUAUCUGUUGUUUUGUCGAGGUGAAUAGCUACGAGACCGUCUGUGGCCUUGUCCUGCGUAAUUUUGGCAUGUUGAUUAACAUAUAAGAAUAAAUGACAAGGGUGAAACUUGAAAACAUCAUAAAGAAUUUCCAAAAAAUGCAAUAAAAAAAAUACUAGUAUCCACCUCUUCUAUCUCGCACACCUUGAUACCUCCCAGGUGUCGGUGUUCUUCCUCGGGACCUUUUUGCCUGCAUUGUUAGCUCAAAAGUUAAAAUAUAGCAGAUACAGCGAGAACUGGUGAUUUACUCAAAAUAGUUAUUAUCAUCACAAACUGAAAAAAGUUCCCUACGUAGACUGAACCAUGGGUAGAGUUGCGAGGACUUAAAUAUUAAGUCUUCAGUUAACACCAAUCUCGGGUUUGAUUCCUGGACAACCACUAAACCAUUCCCCUUAUCCGAAAAUAAAAGACAGUUGCCUACAUUACAUGAUAUUGACAUACACAAGAGGUUUACAUAACCAACAAAAAAUUUCUAAAAUAUUACAAGCAUGCAAGAUCUUUAUUGUAAUGAAUAAGAUAGGAUAUUCACCUUCACGGAACAAGCAAGAAAAGACCAAAAAAAUUGAUGAAAACAUGCAUGUCAGGCGGGUAUUUCAAAAUUGAAAAAUAAUAAACAGCCUCUCCAGAUACUGUUACUGUUGUGGAAAAGGAAAAAAGGGCAUGCAACCUUCUGCAAAAUAGUGAGUUUGAAUCCAUGAGUUUGGAAUGUCGAUGCAGAACUCAUGUCGUGAGAGGGUACAGGUUGAACUGUUAAGAGCUUAGUUUUCGAUGAAGCUACACAUACAAGACCUGCUGCCAAAAUUUAUCAGGCAACACUUCGGAAGAAAGCAGAAGUUAAGAUAAAAUUCUAUGUAAACGAUUUAGCUUCGGUAUAGACUAACAAGUCGAUCCUUCGUAUAAAUUAAUACCUUUUCCACAGUGAUUAAUCGGCCUUCAAGCACUGAACGAUUCAGAUACUUGAUGCAGCGCUCUGCACCCUCAACAGUUUCCAUGGUCACGAAAGCAAAUCCACGAGAUUCUUUGGUGUGUGGAUCAGUAACUAGAUGGCACUCCAAAACCUGGAAGAAAAAUUCAUCAGAUCUAAAUCCUCCACUCACUUAAGAUCCUAAGGGAAUUCUUGUUAUAUUGAUUUAUACUUUUUUUUCCACUACCAUGGAGGUUCUUAAUGAAAACAAGGUUGAUGGUUCAUACUACAACUUGAAGCACAACCCCGAAAUUACCUCUUUAUCGAGAGACAUAAAAGAAAUUGAAGCACUUGAAAGAACAAAGCAUGUUGUCUCCAUAAACAAUCACUCCAUACCUUUCCUUCAUUGCCGAAAUACUUCUCGAGAUCACCGGCAGUAACUCUUGUGGAUAACCCAGUAACAUAUAAGUUAUUUCCUGGAUUGGAUGCAUCCUGAGAUUCACGGCUCCUGGGGCAAUAAAAACUAAAUCACUACAAACAAUUUGAACUGUAAAAGCCAGAUAAUACAUGAUACUAAUAUACUAAAACAAACAAAUAACUAAGCUUUCAUAUACCUAGACCUGGAGCGACUCCUACCAGACCUAGGCUGACGUCUUCUUCCCGGAGAAACCGACCUGAAAGUGUCAGUUUGAAGGAAAAUUCAAUUUACUUACAUCAAAACAAAAUGACCUAAAAGGGGGGGGGGGGAACUGACCUUCCUUCCCUUGAAUAUGACAUCUGCCAAUACAGCAAAAGACAAAUUCAAGAUUUUAAACACUAAAAUUAUCACUUCCUUACCUCAAUGAUUUUAAACAUUCCUUUCUUUUUAUAUUUAUUUUCAUUAUUUUCUUCACUAUCGGUCAUUUUCUCAGCAACCAAACAUAAUAGUUUUCAGCCUUUUAAGUGAUAAACAAUAAAAUAUUCAUGAUUCCGCUAUCAAUUACAUAAAAUUUAUGAGUUUUGCUUCUUGAAUCUUAAUUUUCAGAACAUGCAAAAAUAAAAAUCAUAACACAGAUUCAUAACAAUAAAAUCACUGAAAAUCCUUGGAAAUAGAGUAGAUUUAUUUCUUUAAAAAACGAUAUUUUACUAAACUGGCGAGGCUCUCUAAACAGUCAAAAUCUAAAAUUAUAAAGGAAUAGAGGAAUAAAAAUUGAAGAUUUACCUAUUAUGCUGAGAGAAUUGCUGAGUCAACUCAGAUGCCCCAACUCAGUAGGCUGGUCUAUGUUGAGAAACAAGGGAAUCCAUAAAUGAAUGGUUAAAUUAAAAAAAAAAACUCACUUUUUGUACAUAAAUUGAAAGAAAAAAAAGCUUAAAAGUAAAAAAAAAUCGCAAACGUUAAUGAUUAAACUUGGGCUUUUUUUGCAGCCUUGAACAAAGCCCAGCCCGUCUAAGAACUGUGCUUAAUUUUACUUUGUUGAAAUGUAUUCUAAAUUGAGUCUUUAACUUGAUUGGCAUGAAUAUUAUUAUUAAUGUAAAAUGACGUGGGUUUGAGUACACUGAAACGCAUUAUUCUCUUAUUUAUGGGUUAGGAAGGAGUUAUGAAUAAUUUUAAGUAUUCAGUAAAAGGUUAGGUAAUGGUCUUGGCCCUUAAAAUUGGUAGAUUAUUUAUUUAAAUUUAACAAUUAAAUCAUUAUGAUAAAUUUAUACGAAAUAUAAUUGAGAUAUCAACACAAACACAUGAAAAAAUAAUUAUACACAAUAUAAAAAUAGCAUGAACACAACAUAAAUAUAUCGACGUAUUAAAAUCCAUAUUAAAUAAGUUAUUUUUAUACAAAUAUAAUAUUUUAAUCACAUAAAAUAUAAUACAAAAGGUACUCAGUUUAACUCAACAUUGCAAAAAAAGAAAUCAUAUUAAUCAAACAAUAGUUUUUGGAUACAAUCAAUGUUAAUUAUAGAAGUAAAUAUCAAUUUUACACAUUAACUUAGAUUUAACGUGUAAUAUUAUAUAUUUAAAUUAUAUAUUUAAAAUUUUUAUUUUGAUUCACUUAUAAAUAUUUAAAAAUAAAUAAAUCCAAUAAUUUUCAUGUUAGGUAAAUAAAAAUUUUUGUAUAUGCAAAAAGUAAACCUAUAAAAUGAUAUACUAUAUCAAGUAUAGUGUUAAUGAUUUGUAAAAAUUAAAUUAAAAUUAAUAUUUAUGUAUUACAUUGCAUAAAAUCAAAUUUUAUGUAUGGAAUUGAAUAUUAAAUCAUAUUUAAUGAACCCACCUUUAAUUUAAUGAUAUUGAAAUGUGUCUAAAAACCAAAGCCUUUCAAAAGUUUUUUUUAUUUUUAUUUUGCUACUAUAACAUUUUUACCAUUAAAAUUAUCUUUUUACAUAUGCUUAUGUGUGAUUAAAACUGUUAUGGUAUUCACCUCUACUCAAUUCUUAGACCGGCACAACUUUCAUACCAACCCACAACCAAACCAGCAUGUAUAGCUCGUUGAUAUAUAGUUUGCCACUAAGUAGUUCGCUUGCAUGUGUUCGUAUCACCAUGCAGGUAAACCCUUAUUCAAGAAACACAUGUUAACCUAUACGUGUUGACCUGUAUGAAGACCUACUUAAUCUUAGUAUAUCAAAUCAUGGAACUGUAACAUAUAAAUAAGAAUUGGCUUUAAUGAGUACACAAAAAACACUCAACAAAAACAAACCCUUUCAAUUCUAAAUCAAACAAUUCUAACUAAGGAGACGACUUUUAAAGAUAGUUAUAGUUUGUAACAAGUAGUCGUAUUUCUGUAUACGGAGAAGGCUCUUCUUAUUUUAGAAUGAAAGGACUUUUGUUUGAAAUAUAUGAACAGUGAUAUUUCCUAGUGGUGAAUGAUAUACAAUAUUGGCAUUGAAGAACAUGCAAGACAAUGGCGAAUAGCAAGUUUUAACAAAGAAGCUUUACAUCCCAGAGCAUAUCAGCAGUUGUGUUUGGUUCACAGCUCAAAUUGAUAGCAGGAAAGGUUUGUAGUGAGACAUGAAAAUGGAAGUUGGUAAGAGACCCCAUCCUCACCAACACCACUUUUGAAUCUUUUGACGUAUAUAAAAGAGAAUUUAUGGGAUUCUUCCACUCUUCAAUAUACUAUUAGUUUCACUUCCCAACCAUUACCAAUAGCUAGGGUCUCUCUAGCAUUUGACUACUUUUUUAGCGACAUUCCCCUUGUAGCAUGAAUCUCUCUCCUUACCUUCUAUUUGCUGUUUUAGUCAUAGAAAAGCAAAAAAAAAGCAAAAGCGAAUCUUGUGUACGAGUAUACGUUUAAUAUGAGUAUAUUUUCAUUAGAAAAAACUUUCUUCAUCAUCAAGUCAUGAAAAAGGCAAAUCUGAGAAAUUUCCCUCUUCAUUUUCUUGAAAAAUUAUUGAGUUUAUUAAGCAACCAGGACUAGGUGGCAUUAUAACACAUCACCCAACAAAAGGAAUAAAAGACAAAGCAAAGUGGUAAAGUAGGGUUCUGAUUCUUUAUAGCAAAGAAAAAACAGGAAAUAAACAUCAGUUCAGUCAAGGUAAAAAAGGGAAGUAAUAUUAUAGAACAAAUUAUUAAAAACACCAUCACCCAAGAGCCAACAUCUUCCAUUUGUAGGGGAAACAUCAAGAGACUGUAAACACUUUAAUAGGCAGUAAAGUGGGGAGAAAUCACCCAAAGAUGCCGUUGUUUGAGUUCCAUACUAAUUACAGCAACAAUGGCAGGGAGUUUUGGUUUAAGCCUUUAAUAUCUUUACUUUUUAUAUAAACUACGUCUUCAACUAUUGGUAAUUUUUUUUUUUACGCUCAAUUAUUCAAUUCUGUCUUUUUUAGUCAACUGUUCUUCAAAGAUUAAUAAAAAGAUGACAACUUUUAAAAUUGACAUAAUAACAACUUUAAUCCUUAACAUUUAUACAUUGUGUCAAUUUAGUAUUAAUUCUAAAAAUUGUUUCAAAGAAAAACAAAACUGAAAAAGGAUCAAAUUACACAAUAUAUAAAUGUUGAGGGAUAAAGUUAUUAUUAGACUAAUAUUUUAAAAGCUACCAACUCAUUUUCCAUCUGCUAAUGAUUAAAAAAGAAAAAAUCGAAUAAUUAAAUAAUUAUUUUAUAAAUAAUUAAAUAACUCAAAAAAUAAAGAAACUUGCCAAACAGUUGAAUGUCUAGCAAAGUAGUUUACCCUUAUUUUUUCUGAAUAUUUAUGUUGUUUACCCAAAGUUACUUUCAUUAUCACUGGCAUGAUAUCUUGUAAAGUAAAAUGAAAAGGGUUGGUCCAUUCAACCAAUCAUAUCCCAUUCAUGUGCAUACUUAUGAUAUGCUAAUAUAUUUAAUAGUUGUGGCAAAUAAGUAUAUAUGUAGCCAACAAAAGCCCUUUUCUGCAUAUUUAGGGCCAUUUGAUUCUAUUCUCAGCAUCCCAAAAGAAAGAAGUUCCUUUUUUUUGUGUGUGUGUUUAAAGUUUCUAAUAAGUCCACAAACCAAUCAUCUAAAUAACUAUAGCCUGCAAUGCAAUGAUAUGAUAUUGAAGAAGUGGCUUUUAAGAAUCUUUUUUUUCCAAUAUUGAGUUGGUCAAAGUGUGCAUAGAAUCUUCUCCUUUUUAGUGCCUCUCUCCCUAUAUAUAAACUAUAUAUUAUUAUGAUUUUUUUUUUUUGGUGUUUUCCUCCCCCCAUUAAUGUGGGUGGUCUAUCUGGUCUCUCAUUCAUUUUUUUUUUAAUCCUGCAAGAAAAUGUUUGAUCAUAAAUCCUAAAUACUUGUCGUUCUCUAGUUGAGCAGGUGAAACUAAAGAUCUUCAAGGGUAUUAAAAGUCAGUAAUAACUCAAUGUACUUUUACGGGAAAGCAGAGAUCUUCAGCUUUAUUAAUUUUUAGGGUAAAUUACACGGAAUUACUAAAAUAUUAAUAAAUCUCUUUUUUAUCACUAAUUAUAAAAAAUUAUAAAAUAGUCAGUUAAUCUAUUAGUAUUUUUUUGUCACUUAAUUAUGAAAAGUUAUAAAACAGUUAUCCAAUUAUCAAUUUUGUCUUUUUUGAUCACCGACAGGCUAAUAGUAGUAGCUUUUAAAAUCGGCAUGAUAGCAACUUUAACAUUCAACAUUUAUAAAUAAUGUCAAUUUAGUCUUGAUUUUUUUUUAAAAAUUAACCUUAAACAUUUACACAUUCUGUAAUGUUGUCUUUUUUUUUUUUGCUUUUCUUUAUAACAUUGAGGUUUAAUUUUAAAAGAAUGAGAAAAGAUGAAAAAUAUUUAUUGGAUUUUUGGGUGUUCUAUUUUUUAUAUAUUUUCAAUUAAAUUUAAUUGAUAAAUUUUUCUUUUUAGUUUUUUAGGUGUAAAGGUCAUAAAGAGUUAGAGGAUAUUGUAAGUAGCUGUAAUUAGUUUGUUUUGGUUGUUAGCCUUUCUGUUAACAUAUUAGUAUAAGUAUGUGGCUUAGUAGAAAAUGAAAAAUAAUGUAAAAUUUCAUUUUGACAAUAUUUCAAAGAAUUACUUUUUUCAAAAAAAAAGCAAAAUUACAAAAAAUUACCUAAUUACACCAUGUGUAAGUCUUGAGGGUUAGAUAUUUUUAGAAUCAAAGCUAAAUUGAUACAAUAUAUAAAUGUUGAGGGUUAAAAUUACUAUUAUGCUAAUUUUAAAAAUUAUCAUUCUUAAUCAGAUUGUGACAAAAAAAAAUACUAAUAAUCAGAUGAUUAUUAAUGUAAUUUACCCUUAUUUUUAUCGGUUGUUUUAGAAUUUGGUACUGUUAGUUUCAUCUUUGAAUUAGCAGCGCUAUGGAAGAACCUUUAUUGAAGUUCUAAGAAAAAAGAAGCCAUUGCCCUUUUGAUGACUUUAAAAAUAAGAAGAUUAUAGUUUAAUUUCUAGCUUCUGAUACAAGGAGCUGCAAGCUGCCAUUGCCAACCAGUCUAAUUCUCUUUGAAUUCCCAUUUUUCAAAAUAUAAAAUGCAGAGGUAUAAAUUCCAGAUAUAACUAUAAGCAUUAGGUUAAAGUUCUUGAACUAUAAAUAUCAUUUACAGCCUUGAAUUUCAGACCCUCCAUAUGAAUUACAAUCAUCAAAGGCUUUUCCAUAGGCUAAAUCAUUAUAGACCCUGAAUUUGACUACACUAAAUAGAGUUAAAAGCAUUUGAUACUAUAAACUAAUCCUCUACCCUUGGACUUGGAAAUUGCUUUGACUGUUAUUUUAUUGAAAGAUAUUUUUAAGUUCUGUUUUUUUUUUCUAUUCAGGAAAAUAUAUUUGCCUUUCCUUUUCAUUGCCUUUUUUUAAAGGUUUUUUCCUUCUUAAUUACUUUGUUUCCUUUCCUGUCUCAUUCAUUAGAUUGUAUUUCAUAUUCUUUAUUAAAAAAUAGUAAAUUAGUUUAUGGACAUUAGAUUAAAAAAUAAAUUGAUAUUUUUGUUAAAAAUUUCAAUUAUUUUUAUUAUUAAAAAUUAGAGUAAUUAACGGAAUAAUCAAAUAGUUAUAUGUGACAUGGCAUAUGUACCUCAUAUUGACAUAUAAGGACUAUUUUUUAACGAUGAAAAUGAAUGAUAUUUUUAACAAAAAUAAUCAGUUUACUUUUUGAUCUAGCGGUUUUUAAUAAAAAGAUACAAAAAAAUCUAACUCAUAAUACAAGGACCUUCAGAAUAUUUUUAGGCUCGAAUCUUCUUUCAUGUUAGCACCUCUAAGAUAUAACAUCCAAUGGAUUUAAAAUUCGAAGUUUCACGUCUGGAAUUUCUUCUUCUAUCCUAUACUGUUAUGGAUUUAUAUAAGGGCAUUUUUAUGUUGGUGAACAACCCUUUUUGUUUGUGUGAACAAUUCAACAUUCUGUGAUGAACAUUGAAGGGCAUAAAUAUACAUAGAAAAGGGAAGAUACCAUUUCUCUUUAACCAAACAUUUAGACAAAAAAUGUAGCAUAAACCCUCCUAAAAAAACCUACUGGCAAGUGACAUAUUCCAAUGAAGAUUACCCUUUUUUGGUAACCGAUCACUGUAAUUCUUUUUAUAGUAAAAAAAGAAGAAGAAAAGUUUGCAAGUUGCAGAACAGUUUCUGUAUUGAUUUUGAUAGGAAUUGGUAAAGAUUAAUCAAGUUCUCUUCAAGUUGUUAUAAAAUGUUCCAUAAUAAGGCUUAAAAAAACCAAAUGCACCUUUAAACCAGAGGAACACAUGGAAUUUGAGACUUUUGAUCAACAUGUUCAAUAUUCUGGUAUUAAAUUCUAACACAAUUUACCAAGCCAGUUAACUUGAACAAGUUCAUUAAUUAAACAGAUUUUCAACCACCAACAUAUGUUUGACCCCCAUAUUUUAUCUUCCAAUUUUUUUAAAGUAAUGGAUCCAAUUCAACAAGUGAAGAUGCUUGACAUGAUCAUUAAAUAUACAUAUAUAUUAUUCAAACCUUUCAAAGUGUUAUUGAUUAUGGGCACUUCACAUAAAAUAUGUUAUCAUAUAAUAAUAUUAAAUAUGAAUUAUUAAGUUUUUAAGAUAUUAAGUUCGAGUAUUGGGGAUGAAAAUGCUUUUGAUAAUAUGUAAAAAUAUUUCAAACUCAAUAUAAUGGCUGCAGUUAUUCACACUAAUUAGAAAUUACAAUUAUUUCUUACUCUAAAAUGGUAGCCAUGGCGAUUAUCCUAAAGAUACUAGAAGGCUAAAAAAACUAAGGUUUUUUCCCACACUAUCAGAAGUAGCCAUGGUGGUAUUGAAAUUGAUUUUGACAGAAACUGUUCAUAAAAUCUCCUCUUGCUAGUGUUUCAUCAUCUUCAACCUCAUGCAAUACCUGCAAAAUGAAGCAAUAAAAAAAAUGAGAUAUUUACAUUUUACAUGCACUUUUAGUAUCCAAAAUAUAUGAAGUAAAAAUCGUUUUAAUGGUGUAUUAGAAGUACCCAUAAAUCAUCUUCCUCUUCAUCUCUGGUUGAACAUGCAGCUUUGGGAAUCUCAAUAGCUUCAUCGUUGCGUGCGAAUCUGCCACGUAUACGAGGACGGCUGUCGGCUAGUGUUUUGCGGCAUGCAUACUUUAACAUCAAACAUAAAACCAAACCAUGUUUAGAAGGGUUUUUAAAACACAAUGGAUCCAAUUAAUGUGGUCUCUAAAUAAAUCAAAACCUUAAUUGUUUUGUUGAAGUUCCUUUGAUUGCGCUUUGCUCUGUACUUGGAAAUCCUUUCUUGUCUCUCUUCUGGGUUGUAACGUCCUACUUUAAAGGGUGUUUGUGCUUCCUCAUAUGACUUUUGGUUCAUAUUCUAAAGCCAAAGGAACAAAACAAGAAUCGAUCCCCAUUAGGAAAAAAACAGAGCAAGAAACAGGGAACAAAACGAAGUAACAAACCUCUAAAUCUCCAUUGCAGGUGUUUUGGGGCAUGCUCAAAGCUUGACCUUGAAAAUUCUCUGACGCCACGAGAGGAUCAAAACAAGGUUGAAAUGAAAAGUUUCUUCGCAAGUACUUUGUUACCUCUUGACAUUCUUCAUUUUUAAGUUCAAAGCCAUUCAAGUUGUUGAAACUUUCUUCAUACCCCUGUUCCAAAUUCGGACCAAAUGACAAACAAGACUGGAACUGGGUUCCAAGUAAUUGGUUUUGGCAAGUGGGUUGAUGAUCAACAACUGGGUUUUCUUCUGGGGUUUGUUUAUUGUUCAAUAAGGCUUGAAGAUUAUUAUAAUCUAAUGAAGAAUCGUUGAGAGGAAAGGAAGGAAGAUCAAACAAUGAGUGAUAAUCAAUGGUAUCAGUGGAAACCAUUUCUUUACUGUAGAAACCAAAAACAGAGCAAAGAGGAAAAAUAAAGGAAAGUUUUGGGUUGAUUUUACUUAUUUUUCUGUUCGGCCAAGAAACGGCCAGAAUGCAUAAGGUGACAAGGCUCAGGCACUGAGUUAGUUUAUUAACGUCUUCGACAUUAUUACAUGGAAGAACAAGACAAAGGGUCUCGGGUCUCGCCCUUGGAACAACAGCAUUUAUAUGUAGGACUGGAGAUGGAAUAUAUGUAUGUGUAGAAUUUUGAGACGUUAAUCUAAUAUACGAACGAACCCUUUAUUCGAACAUGUUGGGAAACUAGACGUAAAUGUGGCCCAAGUUGAAGCUAUGUUUCGGGCAAAAGGAGACUAUAACAAGAUCAAGGUGUACCCUUGCCGAAUGCCCCAAGGCCCAAACCAUUGUCGUCUAAGGCAGUAAGUAAGCUCCCUGCCUCCAAAAUAAUCAGUUUGAUGAUAAUCAGAUUAUCAAAAGUUCGAAGACAAAUAUUUUAAGGAAAAAUUAUCAUCAAGGUUACUAAAAUAUCAGUAAGUUUAUAUUUUAGACACUCAACUUCAAAAAGUUAUAAAAUGAUUAUUGAAUUAUUCAAAUGUUGUCAUUUAAGUCAUUGGGUUGUUAAAGUCGUUGUUAUAUGACCUUUUUUGUUCAUAACGCUUGCACCAAUCGAAAGAUUUUCUUUCCUUUCUCUUUUACACUUCAUUUUAUUUUCAUGAAACAACUUUGAGCGUCAUAAAUCGGCAAACCAAAAUCCAACAGCUUUCUUCUUCGAUCUCCAACCAUAACUAUCAGAUUGAUUUGGAUAUAAGAUUUGUUCUUUUACUCGUCGAUGAAUACUAAUCGUCGAAUGAUCCUUGGAGCUCACUACUUAAACUUUUACAAAAAAAAAAAACUUAACAACCUCAUGAUUUAAAUAAAAAUUUUCGAAUAGUUCAAUGACUUGAAUAAAAUUUUUUAAAUAGUUUAGUGAUCAUUUUAUAAUUUUUUUAAAAUUAAGUGACCAAAAUGUAAAAUUACCAGUAAUUUAUAAAGUGAUUCCAUACAAAUCAAAACAUCAAAUUAUUAUUACAUCAACAUAAAAAAAUAGACAUCUAGAGAUUUGAUCUCAUGCCAUCAACAUCUUAUAAAUCUUUUUUUAUCACUUCAACCAAUGUUUACAAUUUUUUUUAUUUAAUAUUUUUAUACAUUUCAAUUUUAUUACAUAAAUUGUCCAUUCACAUUAUUUGAAUAUCUAUACUUAUUAUUAUUUAAGUGUGAUUAAGAUAAUGUCACAGCCAACUCAACACCAACUCGAUUAAUAAAAUUACUAAAAUAAAUUUACAUACUUUAAAUAAGUUAUACAAUUACGAGGGUACUUUUCUCCUUUUUCUUAUUUAAAAAAAAUUACAAGUGUUGAGAUUUGAACCAAGCCAUCAACGUUUAAAAAAUAUUUUCUUUAACACUUCAACUAAAGUUAUAAUAUAAUAUUUUUAUAUUUUUCAAUUUUAUUACACAAAUUGUUUUGGGUACAUUAUUUAUAUAUAUACUAUUAUUUAAGUGUGUGAUUGAGUUUAUGGCACAAGCCAACUCGACACCAACGCGUCAAUCCACGUGUAUGUCUGGUAGCAAAAUUAACACGUUAACUUUUCUAUUUAUUUUUAGGUGAUUUGAUAAAUAAUACAAAGUUAAAAAAUAGGAAAUAUGAAAAAAUAAUUAGAAAGCUAAAACUAUUUUUUUACAAAGUUAGAUGGUUAAAAAAUUAGACAUUAAUUCUCAAUACAAGGUUAAAAUAUCAACAAAAUCAUUCAAAAUUUCAAAUCAUGAUACUUUUCAAAUACCCUUUAAAUCUUAUUAUAUAAAUCACAAAUUUAAAACAUAAAUACGAAAAUAAUAAAUUAUGCAUAUUAAAUUUAAAAUGUAGAAAAACUUAAAAAAAUAAAAAAUUGGUCGACUGGUAAAUAUUAGAUGUUAUUAAUUCAACUGGUGUAAGUUCAAAUCUCAUCAUAUUUAUUUUUUAAUAUUUACUGGUUUUUGUUAAAUAAAAAAAUUAAAGUGCCUUCAAAUAAUAUAAUUUAUUUUAUUGUAGAAGGACAUUUCCGUAAUCUUCCUAACCACAUUGAUGUAUGAUAAAUUUAUUUUACAUACGCGUGUGAAAGUAUUUAAAACACAAAUGUAUGUCUAAAAUACUCACGAAUAAUAUAAUUUACUUUAAAUACGGAAUGUCAUUUUUUAAAAUUUCUUAAUCGAGUUGGUACCUGAUUGACUUGUGACACUAACUCAAUUAACAACAUUAUUCAUAUAUAUAUAUAUAUAAAUUUAGAACAUAAAUAUUCUUAUAAAAGUUUCAAAUGAAAACUAAAAACUGCUUUAGUUUAAAUGAUAAAUAAAAAAAGUUUUAUAUGCAUUGAUUCCUUUGUCCAAAUCUCAUUAUCUAAAUUUUUUUAUUAAUUUUAUAAAAUAUAAAAAAACAAAAACACCCACAUAAUCGUAUAACUUACUUUGCAAAUAAAAAUAUUUUUUGAUAAUUUUCUAAAUGAGUUGGAACUCGAAUGAUGGUGAAACUAAAUCAAUAAAAGACUUAAUAAAUAGUAUAGAUACAAAUGUAUGAAAAUUUAGAACACAAAUGUAUAUGGCAUAAUGAUUUAUUUGGCCCUCAAACUUUACAAAAAAAAAGUCAUUUAACCGUUCAUUUAAAUUUUUGCCUCUUUUUACCAUUGAACUUACAUUAUUUGUCAAAACACCCCAAAAUGGAUAAGAAAAUUAAUUUUUGUUAACUUUGCUGACAUUAGACCUGCUCAUGGGUCGAGCCACCUGGCUUAGCCCAAAAGCCCGCCUAAAAUGUGAGAGGGCUUAGGCAAAAAUAUAGGCUCGAAAAAUGGGCUUGGACAUAUUUUUAAAAUUUAUUUUCAAUUUAUUAGGAAAUAUUUAUUUUGGUAUUUUUAGUAUUUUUGAUGUAUAUAUUUUAAAAUUAUAUAAAAAUUAAUAUGGGCGACUGGGUCAAGCCUGGAUUUUAGCAUUUUUAUUAGGGUCGGGCUUGGGCAAAAUUUUAGGCCCAUUUUUUUGGCCGUGCUGAGCUCAAGCCGAGCAAACGGGCCUAAAGUUUUAGUUGUGUCUGACCCAAACUCGGCCUGGCCCAUGCACACCUCUAGCUUAUAUGAGACACACGUGACUUAUCACAUUAGCAAUUAGUUAUUGUUUAAAAACUUUAAAAUAUAAAAUAUAUAUAUCUUUGAUAAUCUUUUAAAUAUUUUUUUUAUUUUUUACAAAUAGUUUUUAUAAUUUUUUAAAUUUUUAAAAAAUCAAUUAAUUGUCACAUGAAAAUCCACAUGCAUGCCACAUUAUCAAAGUUAACAAUUCUUAACUUUUCUAUUCAUUUUAGGUAAUUUGACAAACAAUACAAGUUUAAAGGCUAAAAAAAAAAUUAAAUGGAGAGUUUUUUUUUUGUAAAAUUGGACGGCUAAACAAGUCAUUAUGCCAAUAUAGAUAUAAAAGUUUCAAAUAAAAACUUAAAAUUGACUUAAUUCAAAUGGUAAAUGAAAAAGUUUUAUACACAUGGUGUCCUUAGUUCAAAUCUUAUUAUGAAUUUUCUAUUGAUUUAUAAAAUACGAAAAAAAGCCCUCAUAUUCGUAUAACUCACUUUGCAAAUAUAUAUAUAUUUAAUUUCUUAACUAAGUUGAGACUCGGUUAGUGGUGACACCAACUCAUUAAAAGGCUUAAUAAAUUGUAAGUAUAUAGACACACAACUAAUGGAGAUAAUAAAUUUUACAUAUUAAAAUAAAAAUGUAUAAAUUAUAUUAAAAUGAAGUUUUGGCUUUGUAUUUAAUUUAAAGUUUUAGUAAUCCAAUUAGUAUUGUAACAGCCAAAUUUUUCAGUGGUGUCGGAAACAGUGAUUCGAGAUCACUAAAUCCGACGAGUAUGUUUAGAAAUUUUAACAAAUAAUAAUUAUAGGCCAAGUGCGAACUUAAAAGAAUUAUUUUUAAUUAGUGAAUUUUACGAUUUUAAAAGAAUUAAUCAGGUAAAUUUGGUUGAAAACGAGGUAUCGAGACCUCGAAUUUAUAAACCGAGCCAUAAAUAUUUUUAUAAAUAUUUAUGGAGUGUUAUUAAGUUAUUAUUAAAGUUUCGUUAGAAAAUUUUAACGUUUGGUUAGUCAAUUAAUUAAAAAGGACUAAAUUGAAAAUAGUGUGAAAUUUAUUAAAUUGUGAUUAAAUAGUUUAAGUGAUUCAAAAGGAGGGAUUUAAAAGGAAAUUGGACCCAAAUUGUAUGGGCUGGACGGGUGGGCAAGAAAAUCAGCAAAAAAGACAAGGAGAAACAAGGGCAAAAUGAGAAAUUUUGCAAAUUAAACAUAUAAAACAAGACAAAUUUGAAAAAUCUAGAGAUAUCAUCAUUUUUCUUCAGCAAAAAUGCCAUGGGAGGUCUGAAAGCUGCUGGUUUUUCAUACUUUGACAUAUGUGAGUUCAAUUCUUACCCUUUUCUUUGAGAUUUUUAUGUUUUUGUGACUUUUACAAUUAGGUCCAAGUGUUUAAUUCAUUAGUUUUUGAUUUUAUGAACAAAAUUAAAAGCUAUCAUUGAUAAGUGUUAGCUGUUUAUGAUGAAAUAAAAUGAAUUUUAAGCUUUGAUUUUGUUGUUUGAUGAUUUUAUCAAGUAAUUUCAAUAGAAAUUGAUUUUAGGACCUAAUUGUGAAAAAGUUGUGAAUUAAGGUUUAGUGUUAAAAUUCUGAUUUUUAAAGAUUGUGUAAUAGUUUAGAAUGAUGGAAUAAAAUGUUAAUUGAGAAAAAUUAGCUUAAUAGAUGGGCUAAUUGAGCAAGGACUGAAUUGUAUGACCAUUGAAAUUUAGAGGAAAAAUGGUAAUAAACAUCUUGAACUAAAACAAUAUUGGACAGCAGAAGUAUACUAACUUUGAAAAAUCACCAUAAAUUUUAGAAAUCGAAUUAGAAGAUGAAUAAAAUAUGAAAUUAAAACUUAUUGAGUCUAGUUUUUUAUAGAAGAAACGGUGUAAGCAAUGGAUUUGUAAAUUAUGAGAUAUAAUGAAUUUUGUGAGACAAUGUUAGAAUGAAUUCGGGUUCCCCUGUUUUGACUUUGGAAAAUCACAAAAAAUUGGAGAAAAUUAAUUAGAGUCUCAAAUUUAUAUGCUUAGAAUCCUUAAUGAGUCUAUUUUCAAUAGAAAUCAAUGGGAACAUUAUCCGAGUUUUGUACUAUGAUAUAAUUAAUUUUUAGUAAAGAGAGGUCAGAACUGUUGGAUAGUGAAAUAGGGGAAACUUAAAUGAAUAAAAUGUACUAAUUGGCUAAACCAAAAAUUCUUAAAAUUUUAUGGUGGAAUUAUAUGUGAGUCUAGUUUUAGGGAAAAUUUACGGAUCUUAAUUUUGAGCUCUGUAGCUCGAAUUAUAAAUAAUUGAGUGACUAUGACUCGUGUGAACGGAUUGAUGUGAGCAUUAAUAAGUAAAUUAUGAAAUCGUACUUACAAGAAUGUUAUAUACAUUAAGGAUGUGGAAUGGAGAUGAGGAGGAGGAAAAAAUAUAUAUGAAUAUUCAGUUAGCAUGGCUAAUUUGCAUGUUUUAAGCUCAUGGACUAAAUUGAAUAAAAGUAAAACUUUAGGGGGUAAUUUUGUAAAAAUGUCAAAAAUGACUAAAUUGAAGGGAAUAAAUUAUUUUAUUAUCUAAAUUAAUAAAUUAAAUGAAAUUAUCAAUUUAAGAUUGGGUGAAAUUUGAUAAAAUGGUAAAUUACCAAUAUGCCCCUAAAUCUUGGUAUUUCUGUAAUUUAGUCAGGUAGGUUCGGAUACCCUGAAUGAGCAAGUAAAUAUGACAAUUUAAGUAUUGUAUUGUAUUUUAUAUGAUAUUUUGAAUUGAAUAUAUGAAAAGGAUGUUACAUGAAACAUGAAAAUGAAUACUAAAUAAUAUAAAUUAAUUGAAAUUAUUAUGAAAAUUUUGGUAAUGCCUCGUAUCCUAUCCCGGUCCCAGGUACGGGUAUGGGGUAUUACAUUUAAUGGUUCCAAAUAUCAUCAUACGCAUAUUUUAAUUUUUUUAAAUAAAAAACUAAAAUUACCUCGAAUAAUAAUUUUUUUAAUUAUGAAUGAACAUUUCCAUAGUUUAUUGAUUAAGCUGGCGACCCAGUUGAGGGUGCUACAAAAUUAACAGAACACUUAAAAUAAUAGUUUAGAUUUUUGAAAGGACAUUUUCAUAAAUUUUUGAUCGAGUUGGUGACCCGAUUGAGGGCGACACAAACUCAGUAAAAGCUUAAAUAAUAAUAUAGAUACAAAUAGGAAAUUAACAGGGAUAAUAAAGUCUGUAUAAUAAAAUUAAAAAGUAUAAAAAAAUAAAAAAAAGAAGCUUUAGUGAGUUGUAAAUUUAAAAUUUCUACAGUGUAAUUUGCAUGGAUUCAAAUAUCACAAUAUGCAUAUUAUUAUCGUUUUUUUAAAUUUAAAAUGUUUAAAUACCAUCGAAUAAUAUAACUUAUUUUAAUUAGGAAAUCUCAUGUUUUUUUAUAAUUUCCCAAGGUCACUUUGACAUCAACUUAAUCAUGGAUUUUUUAUUAUUAGUAUAAAUAGAUUUGAAACCAAUCUCUUUAUUAAAAAAGGUCUUAUUGUUUGACCUAAUCAAAUAUUAUCUUCAAAUAUAAAUGAUUAUACAUCUAUGGUAUCAGCAGUGAUUACAGUUCAAUAAAAUUGUUUCAAAUGAUUGUCAUAUGUUCACGAUAUAAGUAACAAUUACAGUUUAACAAAAUAAAUUAUGUACGAUACGCAUGAUUGGACUCAAACAUAUGCCUUGUAGCAUAUCAGAUAUUAAUGAUCGACAAUGCUAAGCAUCCAUGAGAAGUUUCUACUAUGUAAACACAUUGAAUUUUAAAAUAUUUAUGUUAUCAACAAAAUUGAAAUAUAAAGCUUUUAACAUUUGAAAAGUACUAGUAGCUUCUAUCGAAAGAGUAAGAAAUUCUUCAUGAGUUUUAAUGCUACUAAUUUUAUAUUAUUUUCUUACGCGAAGAAAAUUCGAGGAAGACAACUAAAAGAGAGGAAAACUUUGGAGCGAAGCCUUUAUUGGUAGGCAUAUAUAGUUGAAUAAAUGAUGUAAGACUUUAGGGCCGUCUAUAUUUAAAACGACAAUUUGUAGUCUCAAUGUUAUUUAUUUAAUUAUUUCUAAUAUUUAUUAAAUAAUUCAAAUUGAAAUAUUUAUCAUGUUAUUGGUGAAAUGAAACAUUUAUCAUUAAAAUACCUCUAAUUGUGAAUGUUAAGUUUUAAAUAAAUUGCAUCCACUUUAUAUAACAAUAAAAUGACAUCCUUGUCCUUGCCCCAAAAUUAUAAAAAGAAUUUAAAUUCAUAAAUUUAUUAAACAUAAAUAACAUAAAGAAAACAUUUUUGUAAUUCAAUAGCCAUGAAUGUGGGGAAUUUUUUUGAAUAACCAUAAUCAUUACUUUGAUACUUUUUCUUUUGGAGAUAUGUAUAAUUAUAUAUAUGUAUUUACUAAUUUAAUUUACAUUAAAGUAAUUAAAUGUGAUUUAAAGUAAAGGUUUUUAUAGGUUGAGUCGAAUCUAAGCAUAUAUAUUUGUUAGUUUAAUUUACAUUAAUGUAAUUAAACGUGGUUUAAAGUAAAAGUGUCCAUAAGUUGGGUCGGGUCUAAGCAUGAUAUUAAUAUAUUUUAUGUUUAUCUAGACCCAGUUUGCUCGAAAUAUGGUCUUAAAAUUUUGCCCAAACCGGUUCAUGUUUUUUUAUUUUUUUCUAAAAAUAUUUAUAUUAUGUUAUUUUAAUAUUUAACAAUUUUAUAAAUUUUUUAUUUAUUGAAAAUUUUUUAUAUAGUCAUCUUAAUAUUAGAGUAGUAUUAUAUAUUUUAUAUAGGUUUAUUUUUUAAUGUGUUCUAAAUUACAUGAUAUAUAAAAAUAACAUAAUAUAAAAUAUUAUAAAUUUAAAAAUUGAUCGGGUUUGAGUCUUGAAUGUUUAUACUUGAGCUCUACUCAUAUUUUAAACGAGUCUAAUUUUUUUACCAAAACUUAUUUUUUAGGCCUAAUAUUUUUUCUCAAAUUGUUCUAAAUUUUAGACGAAUAAUUGGACCCAUGAACAAGAAUAAUUUAAACCAAAAAAAGUAAAAUUUAAAUCACAAAAAUUAACAGCGUUAAUAGAAUAACCGCGGUCAGCAAUUAAGGCAAAUCACGUUAUUUUAUUCUCCAUUUCCUUGGGCGUCUCGAUUUAAAAUUGAAAUUUUAUUAAUUAUUUCCUUUAAAUUCAAAAGUCUUUCUUAGUCUUAAUGACUUGGUAUUUAAGAUAAAUCUAAACUGAAAAACAAAAAGCCAACGCCAACGCCAAAGCCAAAGCCAAAGCCAAAGCCUGCCAUUGACCCUUAACAAUUCAUUCAUCAAAAAAAGCUUUUCCUCUUCCAUUUUCCAUUCCAUUUUUAUUCUGCGCUCUCUGUUUCUGUGGUUGUGUUUUAGGGUUUGAGAGAUCAUGGCGUCGCAAGAAUACUUGGACAAGAUGAAGGUCCGUCAGGAGUAUCGGAAUCUCUGGCACACGGAUCUCAUGAGCACCAUUCAACGCGACCCUCCUUGUAGUUCUUCCUUCCUCUCUUUCUUUCUCUCUGUGUUUUUGUGUGUGUUUGUGUUUUUAAAGUUUGAUUUAUUGUUUAUUAAUUUCAAUUUUGCAGAUUGCUGCUUGGCUUUUUGGUGGUAAGUAAUUCCGAAUCUUUUUUUUUGUUUGUUGUAGAUCUGAUUCUGACUCUGCUGAAUUUUGUGUUUUCGAUUUUUUCUUUUGGUUUAGUUAGCUGCAAUAAGCGCUGUUUUUUUUAUUUGUGAUGGUUUAGGGUUUAAAGAUCGAGACGUGGUGACUGGAUUGACCUGGUUGACUCUGCGUGAUUUUUAUGUUUCUGUUUUAAUUUGGAUGCCUAAAUGUCUUUCCUAGAAUGCCUAAUUUUGCUGCUAGUGUUUUGAUUUCUUAAUUCUAUCACUUACACUUUCACCGUGGAAAUUGAAAAUACUCGCUUUUUGCUUGGUCUUCAUUUCUUUUAGCCUCUAUACUAGUAAAUUAUGUGCAGUCUUGUGCAAUAUGUUGAUGAAUUUUCUCUUUCGCUCAACCUUUUGGAAACAUCUAACCUUUAAUUUCUGUCUCCAAAAUACAUUGCUGCUUUUGUUUUACUGCAGUGGCCCAUGUGUAUCCUACAUGCUCCGGAAACGAGCUCUUUAUAAUGACAUGUCAAGGUGAUCGAUGCAUUUGGUCCCUCUUUCAUUACAAGUUUAUGAAGUGAUAUCUUGGUUUAAACAUGUCAUUUUGUUUUUGUUGUAGGUAUACAUGUUGUGCUGGUUAUAUGCCAUGCAGUGGUAGGUGUGGUGAAAGUAAAUGUCCCGAGUUUUGCCUUUGCACUGAGGUAGGAAGUUUGUCUAUAUGGUCUCUAUUGCUGUCUUUUUUCUUCAACAUGCAACUUAAUUUAUAAGCUUACAGACUUGGUUCCCUACUCCAGACUACCCACAAACUAUAGGAAUAUUAGUGAUACUGAGAUUGAACUGAAUAUACAAAAACCUACAGGGUUUUAAAGAUAAACCAUGUCCAAUUCUGAAAAUUUGGUAAAAGAUCUAGCUGUGGGGAAAACAAUCCUUAGGCGCAAAAACACGUCCAAUCUGGGAAAGGAGAGGGUGGAAGGGACAUUGUAUUAUUUUAUAAAGCGCAAUGUUAAAAUCGUCUAAAGAACCUACUUUUUCGUGAUAGGCAUAUAACUUUUUGUGUGGUUUUCUUUCAAGAUAAUUUGUAAGUUGGUGUGCCAGUUGCAGUGAGCUUCUAUUCGUAUCUUGUUAUCAUUUUCAUAUAAUGUGUUUGUCAUUUCCAGGUUUUCCUCUGCUUUGGAAACUCCGUGGCUUCAACCCGGUUUCUGCUGCAAGAUGAAUUCAACAUUCAAACAACAAAAUGUGACAACUGCAUCAUUGUAAACUAUCCCUUUCUACACUUAAUGUAUAUCAGUAUCUGUAAUUCCAUCUGAUGUCCUUGGCCAAUGAUUAAACAUAUUGUCACUUAAUAUACAGGGUUUCAUGUUUUGCCUGCAACAAGUUGCCUGCAUAUUUUCCAUAGUUGCAAUGAUUGUUGGAAGUGAUGAGCUUCAAGAUGCUGCACAGUUGCUGAACUGUUUGGCUGAAAUGGUUUAUUUCACGUAAAGUGAUCUGUUCCAUUCUGCUUUAUCUAUCUUCUAGUUAAUUUUGCAUUCAGAAUACACUGACGACCCGUUUAUUUUUACCUUUUGCAGGGUCUGUGCAUGUAUGCAGGUAUGAUGAGUUUCUAAUACAUGCAAAAUGACAUUUUGUUAUAUCCUUAUUUUGAACCAUUUCUUAACAUUUUCUUUGAUUACAGACACAACAUAAGAUUGAAAUGGACAAACGAGAUGGCAUGUUCGGUCCACAACCCAUGGCCAUUCCCCCUGUUCAGCAGAUGUCUCGCCUUGAUCAACCAAUACCCCCUGCAGCUGGCUAUCCACCAGCAGCAUAUGGACAGCCUUAUCCACCACCUCAAGGUUACCCGCCGGCCGCAUAUCCUCCUCAUCAGUACCCUCCAGCUGGUUAUCCAGCACCUGGUUACCCACCAUCUGGUUACCCUAAGUGAUCUUUCUAUGGUUUACCUUUUGGUUUCAAUUGCCUGAAUCUGGAUUACUGACUACUGAGUCAUGGAUGAAGCUGGUAUUCUUUAUAAAAUUUGACUUUGCAUGCUGUUGGGAUUUAUAUAUAGUGUUUAUAUUAUAUUAUAUUGUGUGAUUUACUUUUUUUUAUAGCUGAUUUAAACAGCAAAAAGUGUUAAAUAUUAAAACUGUCAGCUUGUUUAUUCUCAAUAAUUUUCUUUUACUUCAUGUUUCUACGCUAUUGAGUUUUGAUGUUUAUUUAUAAACUUUAUCUUCAAUUUUGGUAUAUAAACCAAUAUUUGUUAAAGCUGCAUAUCCCAUGUUCCUUGUCACAUUUAUUAAGAUUAAAUUCGAUACCUGAUGUAUAAUAAAAUUAAAUGCGUGUAAUUAAAUAUAUGACCCAAAACAAAGGUACGGUCGGGGAGAUGUAUGACGUUUUGCUUUGAAAUAUUUUGGUGUCAUUGUCACACCUAAAAUAGUGCGCCACUGACAGAUCAAAUGCUUGAUAUUUUUACAAAUUCGGAUGAAGCAUUAAACUAUUAAUCUGUUUGAAUUCUUAUUUAAUACGAAAGUAAAUAAGAGAAUGAAUCCUCGAACUUAUUAUUAUAAAUGCACCAAGACAAUAGCUCAUCCUAUAUGCGGAUCCCACGAGCUGGCACUAUUUGCACCACACGCCACCACCUUUUGUCUCAUCCCUCGUCCUUUCGUCUUAAUUUAUAUACAAAUUUCAUGAUUAGCUUUUGGAAAUGGGAAAUCUCUAAGAAAGGCUUUACAAUUUCUAUAAACUCAAGUGUUACAAAAUACUACAAAAAUAUAUUUACUAAAUUAUUUAUUUAGGUAAUAUUUUAUAUAAUUAGUGUUACAUAAAAUAUUAUGAGAUUUGUAAUUGUUUGUUUAAUUAGGCAAUAUUUUCUGUAAUUAUACAUAAUAUAAUGAAUGUUGUAAUCAUUUGUUUAAAUAGCCAAUUUUUUGUAUAAUUGUGUCGCACUAAACAUUAUAAAAGUUGCAAUUCUUUGUAUAUUUGUGUAAUUAAUGUUACACAAUAUGUUAUAAUAUUUUUAAAUUACACAAAACAUGUAAUGAAUUGCUUAAUCAGAGCUCAGGACUCCUCUUAGAAAUGAGUUUUCCAUUUGUUUAAACUUUUCCAUUUUCCCUUUAUUCUAUUUUCAUUUGAUUCAAUAUUCUUCAAAGAAUUUCAUAAAUUAAAUUUUAGAUUUAUUAUGUUCACUUUUUAAUUUCAUGAUUUUUUUGGUAGAAGUAUAUUUUUUUUUCAAGAUACGUCAGUUAAUAAUAAAUUAAUUUUACUUAAUAAUUUUUAACUAGAUUGGUUCAAAAAGAAAAUAAAAACUUUUGCCUUACUAAAUACACUAAAUAACCAUGUAAAAAAAACCCUAUAUAACCAUUUAUUGCACAAAAUUUUAGACCAAGUUAUAUCACUUGCGUCGGUUAUGUUUUGUCCAGUCGUGUUUUUGAUGUUUUUAUUCUGUUUCUUCCAAAAUGCAUGUUUUUUGUGGGCGAUUAGCUUAAGUUUGACCAAUAAACCGGACCUAUUGAGCCAUUAAUGGACCGACUAGCCAGACCCAAUUAGGCCACAUGAAUCGGACAUGUAAGCUAAAAUCCACAACUUGGGCCUAUGAACCUUAUUCAUGAACCGAAUUUGUGAACGAGACCCAUAUCCUGAACACAUGAAACGAGCCCAUUAUCAGAAUCCGUGAAUUGGAUCAAAGCCCAAAAAGGGCUCUGGGACAGUAUAAUGGACCCGAAAUGGAGCCCAAACCCAAAAGACCCUUCAAUCUGCUAGGGUGGAGGUAGCCGGCGUGCACGCCUCCCGACAAAGGCACCAUGUUGCGACGAGGCUCUAGUCAUUCCUAACAUUUGAUUUAAGGAAUGUAAAGUUGUGCAUUGUAAAAAUUAUAUGGUGGAAUGUUUGAUAGGUUAAAUAAUUUUAUUUGGUGGAAGAUUGGUGGAGUCAUUCCCAAUAAAUGCAUAUGGUUUUAGGCUACUGAGUUUAAUGUUUUAUAUUUGGUUGUUUCAAUGAUGAAAUUUAUAACUAUUUUCAGACUUAUUAUCUGAUUUUUUUUUCAAUACAAUGAUAGUAUACUUGUUUGUAUGAUUAAAUCACAUGAUAUAGUAACUACAAGUUUAUCUUAGUAUUAUUGAAUCACGUACAUAGUAAAUUAAAAAGUUUAUUAGUCUAAAUAUAUUAAUUAAUUGGCAUGAUCGAUUAGACUAUCUCAAUUAAUAAUGAUACGAAAAACUGAGAAUUUACAUGGAAGUUUAUUAAAGAACUUGUAUAUCAUUUAUUUUAAAGAUUUUUUAAGUAUUGCUUGUUCUCAAAGAAUAUGAAUUAUUAGAACCUUGCUAACUCAAGUUGAGACUAAAUCUCUAACAUUUCUGAAAGAAAUAUGGACUUGUUUAUCCAAUAAGUGGAUGUUCUGAUAAGAUCCUGGUAGAUGCAUCCACAAGGUAAUCACAUCUGAGUUAUCAGUGUGCAACUUGAAGUUUACGAUAUUACUUAUUUAAUGAUUAGUGUAAGAACAAAACUUUCAAAUUAUGCAAUUGAGACAAUUCUUACUAAUGUUUGUGAAUUCAAUUCUCAAGCUUUCAAUGAUUAUUAUAUGUUAAAUUGUCGGUGCGAGUAAAUAUCACAAAGCUUGAUGUUUAUGUAUAUAAAAUCGGCAUAAUGAUAUGAUAUUUUAUAUGAAUCCACAUUUGUACGCAUCAUGCCAAUAAGUUUUGAUAAAUACUCCUCAUUACAAUAGGAAUCAAAUACAACCCAUUUUAGAAUUUUAGAAUAUGUGAUAUAUGUUUAAGUUGCUACACCACAAUGCACAAAAUAUGUACUUACAGAAAAUUGGGAAUAUACAUUAGUUAUGUGUCUUCUUGUAUUAUUAAAUGUGUUAAAUAAAUUGGAGAUUUAAUUAUAACAUGAUUUGUGAUUACUAUUUAAUUUGAUAAUUUUCCCAAGAUAAGGGGGGAGAGAAAUAAUAGUUGGAUAAAUAAAUUACUUGGGAUGAAUUAUCAUUAUCUAGAUCCUCAUAAAAAGUAAUUUGAACCAAAAGUUUAAGAAGAUAAUGCACUUUAUUACAACUUAAUUGCCAGACACAUUUAUUAACUUGAUAAAAAUAACUAAGUGUUAUGUACCAACUGAUAUUUUGAAGUCUCAACCGACAACCUUGCUAUAAAAAUGAAAGUAUUGCAUGCCUAAAGCAUGGUAGAUUGAUUGAUUCCAAAGAUAAAAUUCUAAUACAACAAAAUAAUAAAUCAAGAUGGUCUUAUAGUGGAGGCGAAUGUUCCUAAACAGACCUAGGCAUAACUAAUUAUUAAAACUACAGAAGAGAUUCAAGUAUUUGAAGAUGGAAAUAGUGAAAAUAAAUAUAUUUUAGUAAGUUAUGCCAAUACGAAAAAAUAUGGAAUCAUGAAGAACAAAAAAUUGUCGACAAUGAUUUUGCAUGGAAUAGUAUUAUUGAAAUAAUGAAAGAAAAUGAGGAUUUUCAAUAAAUUUCUUGAGAAAUACAGAGAUGGAAUAGAUUAGCAAAAACAAAAAGACAUAAUUUAAGUCUAAUUAAAUUCAUAAAGUUUAUGGAUCAGUAGUCCAAACAUCUAAAGGUAUAAAGCCAAUGGAGUAGAAAUAUUGAUUAUAUUUUGCAAAAAUAAAAUAAAAUAAAUGAAAUUUUUCGCUAAGUCCAAGCAUUGAUUAUGAAAAAUAUUCUUUUGUAGUAGAUGCAAUAACAUUUAGAUAUAUUAUUAGUCUAGCAGUUUAUGAAAUAUUUGAAAUGUGCCUUAUGAUUUUUGUUACAAUGUUUACAAAAACCACUAUGCAGUGGAAGUUUAUAAUAAAAUCCUUUAAGGAAUAAAAAGGCUGGAAGCAUAUAGAAAUUCUCAGGAAAUUAUGCAAUAUGUUUGCCUAAAUAUUUAUAUGAAUUGAAAUGAUUUCAACAUAUUCGACUCAAUGAAUAAUAGUUGAAGGAAGAUUAUAAAAUGAUCCAAAAUACUAUAUGUAUUUUUAUAGAAGGAUCAUGAUCAAAAUUUGUUAUAAUUAUUGUUGAAACUCCUUAAGAGAUCAAAAUAUAUUUCCCCCAAAUUUUUUUUCUCUCCUAACUUUCAAAAGAAUUGUGAUAUAAAUAAUUAGAAAUAUAUUCAAGUGGUCAUUUGAAAGCUAGCAUUUAAUAUUGGAAUACGUAGAAUGUAAGAUAUUACAUGAUGUUGUUAUAAGAUUGAGUAAAUAUGCAUUGUAUUAUUUUUCCAUUAAUCGAGGUUUUGUCCCAUUAGAUUUUACUAGUGAUGUUUUUAAUGAGAUAGCAUAUUAUGCAUAUUAUAAAUAUGCACACUAUUUUUCCUUCAGUAAAAAAAUAUUCCCCACAAGAUUUUUAUCUUUGUAAGAUUUUAUCAAGACAAAUUAUCUACAAGUACGCUUAAAGGGGAGUGUUUAAAUAUUAUUAUAAAAUGGAUAUCCAUUAAAAUCAUGAUAAGUUUAAUGUACUUUAGAACUCCAAAAUUAUGAUAAGUUCAAUAUUUUAUUACACUAUUCAUUAAAAAAUAGGUUCUCUUUUGCUCUCCUAUGUCUGGUUGUUUACUCUCUUUUUAUUGUUGUUUUUAUUUUCUCUAUUCUUUUAUUUCAUAACAUUUUUUUUAUAAUUCUAAUUUAUAGGAUGUUGAAAUAAAUUUAUAACUUAAUGUACAAUUUUGUCCUUGAGUUUGACAAUUUUUUUAAUGUGGUACAUUUUUUUUUUACAAUGUGCUACCUGUAUUUGACAAAACUAUACAUUUUAGUACUUGAAGAUAAUAAUAUUAAAUUUUUAUUUUUUAUUCGGGUUUUAGAAUUAAUUUAAUGAUAAUUCAUUAAAAAGAUAUAUUAAGCUUAAAUUUAUAAAUUUAAUUUUGAUUAUAAUAAUUCAUGAAAAUUGAUUGUAUCACCAAACAUAAUUAAAUUUAUAAAUUAUGGUUAUAAAAAUUCAUGGUUUUUUUAGUUUUUUAUUAGACUUAAAUUUUAUUUGAAAAAAAAAUUGAUUAAAAUAAUAAAAAUAAUGAGUGAAUUGGUAAAAAGUUUAAAAUUACACGCCUAAUUAUGAACCGUAAUCCAUAAUAAGAUUACACUUAUUACACCUUGAGGACAAUUUGGCACUAUUUGAAAAUGAUAUUACGAGAUGGUUAAAAUGUUGAAAAUCCAAACGAAAUAAUUUUGAAAUGUAAGAUUUGAUCAAUCAAACAUACAACAAAAAAAUAUCGGUGCGUUGACGCCAUGAAAAACGUGUCGAACAAAGCCAAGCUGAAGUAGAAACUUGAGCAAACGCUCAACGAACAACACCAGGCAUGAAACCUAAAUAUAACUUCGAUAAACCACGACAGCAUCAUGCUGAAGAAACAGGUAGCCACUAAAAGUGAUGCAACUUCAACUGCUACGCUUUGCAGAAACCAGUGAUAUGAAUAAUAUAACCAUACUUGAAACCGUGUUCAGACCCUAGUAAUAUGAGUAAUCUUUGUCAAUGAUUGGCCAGAAACCUACAACAUCUCAUAUCAUACUUUAUUAUGAUUCAGAAAAAGAGUACUUUACCAUCCUCAAAAUGAUAUGGGCACCAACUAAACAAAAGUUUCACUAACUUUUACCAAACAAAUGAUCCGGGACGAAUAAUAUGAGAAAUACAUGAACAAACAACUUCGAAGCUAUUCUUUCUCUGUGGUUGAUGACUCAAUCCUACCCUUCAAGCAGCAACUUGACCAAAGAGCCACUUGCGGAUCUGCAACGAGAGCAAAUAAACUAAAUUGAGAGAGGGAGAUAACAACACUGCACCAGCAAUUUGCUUCUUCUAGCUCUUCUUGAAGAAUUAUUGUGUAACUAGGCAAAACAAGGUAGAACUAAGCAAAAUGCAUCCCAAAAAAAUACUACCAAACGCACUUCUGGAAGUUUUUUAUUGAAUGCAACAUCCAAUCGUGCAUCCAAGGUGUUCUCACACACAAUCUUUCCAUCUCGAGAUGCUAUCACAACACCUCCUGAGCUGCAAACCAGGGGAAAAAGGGAUCAGUAUUAAAGUUUUAUCGGUUUACUUCUUUUCUUUUUCCUUCUCAUUUCAGGUAGGGGAAGGGCAGAGGGUAACAUCAAGGGGAGGUUGGUAAGAUAAAAAAAGAAAAGAAAAGUAAAGCACAACUAAGCAAUAUUUCAUACAACUACUAGAAUCAUAAUACUCAACACUUAAUUACUUCCUCGAGACAAACAUUCACGUCCCUAAGGAUCAAUCCUCACAAUCGGUAACAUGUACUCUCGCAUUUUCAUAGAAUUAAUCAUGCAUACCAGAAAGGGCCAUGAGCAUUGUGAUGAGAAGGUGCAGAAGGAAGAUGGACAUUGUCAAUGAAUAUCUCUGGAGGAUGAACAUUCACUUUGGAAGCAUAUUCUUCUUUUGCUGAAUCCAGGACAGACUCCACCAAGGGCACAUCAUCUUUGCGACAGCGCAGUAAGACAGCAGGCUCUUUCAGCCUGACCAAACUCUGCAAUAAACAACAUACUUUCAGCAUUCAACUGUACAUGAAAAUCAUUCAAUUCAAGAACUCCCAAGAUUUUAUCUAAUGCUGCAAUUUUGAAAUAUUUGCAAAAAUGGUUUUAUAAUCUUGCCAUUCACUGACCUGAACAAUUACAUCUUUCAAAAGCGUUCUGUACACAUGGUGAUCACGGCUCACGUUCAGAAGUUCCUUGGCUGCCGAUUCUUUCAUUUCAUUAACCACAUCAUCUUGAGCUUGAAGGACCUUAAUCCUAGAUGCAUUAAGCUGCAUCGAAUACUCACUGCAGCAACAGAAUAAAUCUUACUCUUAUUUGUAUCCUUCUAUUAUCCUACGUGUCAAUUUUGCAUCAAAACAAAAACUAAAUUCUCUUGGCUGUCACAUUAACUAUCAUUGUGAGCAUCAACUUCUUCAAUUUACUAGCUUCACCCAAAUCACAUUAUAGUUUCAGAUUACAAAUUAAACCAGAGCCAUCUCCGAAUCUGACUACUUCUCAAUUACUAAUGUAAAUCUCAGCUUGACUAUAGAAAUCCAGUAUGAUAAAUCAGUUGAACUAAGCAGAAUAUUUAAAAAAAGAUCAACUUACAUCUUCUUUCGAACUUCGACUUGCUUCUCCUUUUUCUCGUACUCUUGCCUGAUCUUCUUCUUCUCUGCCUCCACCAACUGGAGCUUCUCGAUGUUGAAUUCCUAAAACACCAAUCGAUUCACCAUCAAUUCAUCGGAACAUCCAAAAUUCACAAAAUUAUAAGCCAGAAAGGGGGAAAAGAGAGAAAACGAAUGAAAAUUGAAAUACCUCUUCCGCUGAAACAGAGAUCUCGUUAGCCUUCUCCUCUGCUUCUUGGCGGAUGAAUCUCACCAUCUGCUGGAUCUGCCUGGAAACAUCUCCGUCGUUCAUUUUCGCGGGGAUCCUGAUUUGAUCAGAAAAUAUUGUAGAAUAAGAUAUUUUUAUCUGAUUCUCGAUCAGAAAAGAUUAAAAAAAAAAUGAAAGCGAACAGUGAAGGUAACCAGUUUUUAUACGUGCUUCCCAGAGGUGUAUGGUGAAUGGCCGUUUGCUUAAUUAUUCACUUUUUAAGAGAAAAAAAGGGUCCCAUUUAUUUAUGAACUACUAUUAUUUUGUAGUUAUCCUCAUAAUGACGUGGGACAUUUUCUGAGCGUACGAUUUUCGAGAGUAUCAAAUUAUCAACCUUCCGGUUAUCGCCUAGUGUUUAGAUUUUAUUAUAUUUAUAUACUUAUUAAAUUAUUUAUACACAAUUUUUUAUAAUUCAAAUAAAAUAUUAUUUGGUCUCAAAUUUUAAAUUUUUUGUAGUGAUUGUGACACGGGUGACUCUAAUGUGAAAAAUUAAGACCAAUUUUUUUUAAUGAUCAAUUGUUAAAGUUAACGGUUAAAGAAUUUUUUUUAAAUAUUUAAUUAAGUGUAAAAAAAAUUAAGGGCUUAAUUGUUCUUUUUUAAAUGCUUGUGUUUUUUUGAUACAUUUUGAAAGAUUAAGUGUAAAAAAAUAGGGGCUUAAUUGAUCUUUUUAAAAAAAUUUGAGAUUUUUUUAAUGUAUUUUAAAAGUUUAAAUAUUCAAUUGAAUGAAAAAAAAGACUUAAUUAUUUUUAAAAAAAAUUAAAAGCUUAAAUACAACAAGAGUAAUAUAAUUACAAAUUCAAAUAACUACAAAUAGAAUCAAAUUAUUAUAAUAACAGAUUAAAUGGAUUAAAACUCACACGCAUUACGAAACUCAAAAACCUUCAUAUUAUUAUAUAUAUAAUUGUGCAUAACAAACCUCUACUAUUUAUCAAUUAAUUUAAAGGAAGUACCGUAAAAAGGUAAACUCACAACCGAUCUGAACCGUUAGAUGUAUAACGACUUGAUGGGUCUAUUUUUAAAACGGGACGAAGCUUAAAAUCAAACCCACUAAAAUGGAUCGCAGGCCUAGAAUUUGAUCGUUUAGAUGAUGAUUUUGUAUCUUUAAUAAAAAAAGGGUUCUCUCUCCAUCUGGUCCAUUCUUAUCUCGUAAAAACCAACCAAAAAUAAUAUGAACCAAGGCCCACUUUUGUAGGUCUACCAUCACAAAUUGACUAUCAUAUAUGAUAUUUACACAUGGCAUGUAAGGCACCCUCCUGUGUUUUCCAAUCAUUAGUCCUUUUAAUAUUAUUAUUAACAUCCAACAAAAAGCACACUUUUUAUUAUUAAUAAUAAUAAACUACAGGUCAACAAUGUGUUCAUUGUAUGUGUAGAAUAAUUGUUUAAUUUGAUUAAAAUUGUUUAGUUCAACACUUGAUUAUAACAUAUAAUGUAUGGGAGAAAUAUAUAAAUUAUCAUAAAUAGCAAAGAAAGGGGAAAAAAAAAGGGGGCUAAGAAAGGAGUGCUAUAUGAAUACAAGUCACAUGUUAUCCAUAAGUAAAGUUUGGUAUUAUAUACAUGUAUGUGUAUAUAAUAAUUGUUUGGGGUGAGGGUGGGGGUGGGGGUGGAGUGAAGAAAGGCCCAAUGAAUAAGAAGAAUUGAAAGGGAGGGCAAAGGACAAUGACACAAGUUUUGAUGAAAAUAAAAUAAAAUACAAAGAGACAUGUCCUCAUUUGUCCUCCUUUAGGGAAUAAAUAUAUGUUUAUUAAAUCCAAAACUUGAUUUGCCUUGUGACUUUGGGAAUUGGGGAUCCCUUUCCCUUGCCUUGCUUCACUUGUCUAUUAGUCAAGCACAAAUCUACAUUUUUCCAACUUGGCUUGGAAUUUAAACUGAAUAUCAAUUUGGUUAAAUAAAUUUAAAUUCUAUCAUGUUAUUUUAUACUUUUUAAUUAUUUUUGUAUUUACUUUAUAAUUAUCAAAUCAAUAUUUGGGAACAACUUUUCCAGAGUUGUCAUAUGGAAUUGGCAAACUAUUUAUUCAUGUAAAUAAAUAGUGAAUUAUUUGAGUUAAAACAUAAAGUGAAUUUGGGAGCAACAUGAAAAUUAAGUUGAAUCAAAUUAAAAGAUAACAUAAUAUCAUGUGAGUAUUUAAAAUUUAAAUGUUUAUUUAAAAUUUAAAAGAAUUUAAAUAAAAUAUUAAAAUAAAAAAUAAAUUUGAAUAAAAAGAGAUUUGAAGAAAAUUUUAAAUUCCUACUUUUAAGUUAGAGCAUGCCAAAUUUGAAAAAAUAGAAGAAGAGGUGUUUAUUGAUUUUACCAAUAAAAUUUAGUAAAGAGAAAAUUAAUGACCGUAAAAGAAAAACAAAAUUAAUAAUAUGAAUGAGUAGGAAAUAAUAUCAGCCAUUGUUAUUAAUAAUUAUUUCCAGGAGGUGGGGAAGACCAGGCUGAGCGUCCCAAUGAAAAAUAAUCCCCAAAAAAAGAAUCGCAAAAUCCCAAAUCAAAAGUCACAAAUCGCACGCAAAAAACAAUACCAAUGCGGCCUAGUGAAGCAAAUGAAUGACUAAUUUAGAAACAAAAGACAAUCAAACUUUCCAUCUAAUCCAUGCACCCCACUGUAAAAUAAAUUGAAAAAAAACAACAGUAAGUCCGAUGACCGAUACAAUGGUGGCCCCCCAUGUGAGAUUGCCCUCUGCCCCUUCUUCUCCUACCUUUUCCUCUCUCUCUCUCUCUCUCUCUCUCUCUCUCUCUCUUUGCUUUGCCACUCUCAUUUUUUAAUCUCUGAAACAACAACAAUUGCAAAAGCCCCCCCAUGUUAUUGAUCUGAUCCAAAACACUCCAAUAGAAAACAGAACAAGAGUUAGAUCUCAUCUUUUCUCCUUCUAUUUCCUUUGUUUUGUGCAUUUAAUGCCCCAUUUUCAGGUUGGCUCUUUGGUCAUGUUUUUUACUUGAGUUCUCACCCAGCUGGCCGCUUGUAAUUUCCCUUUUUCCUUUUUGGCAUCCACCGCCAUACUAAAUGCUUCUGCCAAGUGCCAAUGCUGUAAACUAAGGGAGUAGCAUACAGUCAAAACUCAAAAACAAUAGAGGAUUGCAUUGAAUAUCAUUUCAUGGCAACAACUACAACUACAAAUAUAUCAUCUGCUCAGCUCAAAGUACAAGUCCAACCCAUCAAGCCUAAGCGCCGCAAGUGCAAGGAAAACCACCAUUUCUUCCUCUGCUUCCUCGGUGGCUACUGGUUCUGCUGCUUCCGGUGCUACGAACAACUGUGCUGAAUCGGGUGGUGUUUCAUGGAGUUCUAAGCCGGAAACUUGACUCGCCCACCAUUGUUUUCUCCUGAUAGGUCUUGGUGUUGCCUGCUUCCAAGCCCCUUCCAACGCCCCCUCCUUCUCCACCUCCGCUUCCGCCGCAAGCUCGCCGUGUCCCGGACCAGGGGUUAAUAGAUUCUUUGUCGGGCUUCAGGAUCCGAUAUUCUCCAGGAAGCGUAUUGCCUGUCAUGGACUUUACGGGCGGAACAUUGCUCUCCAAUGGUCAUUCUCCGUCGAGUUUCAACAAGUUCAACUCUGCACUGACGGCGGGUCUCUUAAAACCCGAUGUCCCCANNN